Molecule: long non-coding RNA, 45136 nt
Filed under: Hordeum vulgare
Lineage: Eukaryota; Viridiplantae; Streptophyta; Magnoliopsida; Poales; Poaceae
Description: long non-coding RNA (HVUL_LNC002418)
Source: RNAcentral
UCCUCCUCCUGCGCUAGGCUAGCUCCCUUCGUUCCUUCCUUCCUUCGUCCGUCCGUCCCAGGCUGCGUGGCGUGUGCGUGCGGCGAUACGACACACGGGACUCACGCGCGGCGGCGGCGAGGGUUUUGCCUGCUGCCCUCCCCCCUCCCCACGCGGCGGCGGCCGGAGCGGCUAGCGGGUGCCCGUCGGAUCCGGAGGGAGGCGGCGGCGCCAUGAGGGGCGGCGGCCGGGGCGGCNACGGGAGGGGGCAGCUGCAGCAGGCCCGCGGCGUGGCCGCGGCGGCGGCGGGGGACGGGGCGGAGAUCCCGCACGCCUCGCGGAAGCUCGUGCAGGGCCUCAAGGGGAUCCUGGCCGACCGCACCGAGGCCGAGAUCUACGCCACGCUCCUCGACUGCGCCAUGGACCCCGACGUCGCCGUCGAGCGCCUCAUCUCCCAAGGUACCCUCGCCCACCCCGCCUGGAAUUCCACUCGUGUAUUAGUACUGGCCCAGCGGUUCGUCGGUCAGCGCUAGGGUUUGUAGCCGAUUGGCCUGCCUGCGUGCUAGUCCGCGCAGCUCGUUAGUGAUUUCGUCACUCCCCUUAGCCGUCGUAACCCCCAGCGUGGACGCUUGCUAUCGUACGUAUCGCUUGGCAAUCUGGCCCGGAUUUCUGUCUCGAUGUAGUCUAUGCGAUUUGUGUGUAUGUGCUGUUUGUUUGAUCCGAUGGGGAUUUGUGGUGCUCGAGAAUGAGCAAAGCAGUUACUGAGGAAGCAGCAGGUGGUGCCUAGUGGUGUAAGCAGGCUCAGUUCAGUGGGAGCUGUGGAUGUCUUGAUCCGUGUGUUGCUUCACUCUGAAGUUGCAUAUAAAUAGGAUAGUUGGUCCAGAUAGAGUGUUCACAUUUAAUAUCUUCAUUCAUCCAUGGUUGACUUAUGACUUAUGAGGCUGUUGUGUAAAAGGUUGCACAUUGCACUGAGGUCUAGAUAGUGUAGAAGCUUUCACUUGGAGAUUAAUCUUGCAUUUAUUAUUUUGUGAGUGUUAUACAUGCAUUCAUUAUUGGUGCAUCAUUCCUUUUGUUCAAAAGAGUGGCAGUUAUUUUGUGUGUUUGAAACUAGUACAUUUGGUAAUCUUUUUAUUCUUGGGAAACAAGUCUAUUAACUCACUAGAGACGAUGACAAUGGCCUUUCUUUGCAGUAAGAGCCGAGGGCAAGAUUCUCCUGUUCGUUUGUUUCUGUGGAUCGUACCUGUCCUAUGCUCAUGCACUAUCUAAUGCUUACAUGCACAUAUAAUUUCUCCUAUGGUUUAAAUGUAACCUUGAAGACCAACCACAAGCAACCAACUGUAUGUUGGCAAGUUAUCUAACUCUAUUGUCAUGUUUGUUCAGACCCCUUUCAUGAAGUGAGGAGAAAGCGUAGCAACAAAAAAGAGGUCAGUACAUAGAGAAUCCUUAAGCUUCAAAGAAUACAAACUUUGUUGGUGAUGUUCUUCAGUGCAUUUUUGGUAUUUCUGGUGUUUUAAGUAUGCCACUUGCUCGUUCUCCUGACAAACUCCUAUCACCUGCAGGUAAAAGCUCCUCAGGAAACAAGGUCUCGCCCAUUCUAUAAACCUGCAUACCGAGGUUCUAAGGUUGGUUCGGAUCGAGGUGGACGUGGUUACUCUGGUCCGGGAGGUAGCGUGCUAAAUUCUGUAUUGUGAUAUCAUAAUGAAGUUUGAUUUUGUACAGUUUAACUCAUUUUGAAUAUGUUAUCAAAAUGACAACAUAUCAGCAGACUCAACUGCUAGCGCUAAAGGUCCUAUCAAGAAGGAAACAGAGUUACUUCCGCCACCAAACACAUCAACCCCUGAUGCUGUCAAGGGGAGCAAUCCUAUGGAAACAAUUUCAGAAGCUGGGUAAGUAAAUAGAUCCUGAUCUUGCAUAGCUAUUCUAGCCAAAUAUUGAUUAUAUUAGUUAAAGUUUUUGCUCCUAGUUUUGGUGCACUUCUUGCAGUAGUUCUGUUGGGGCCAGUUCUUCUGGGGCUUAUGGUUGGCUGUGAAAAUAUUUUAGAAGCCCAGCCUAAAUUUUUAUGUUAGAAGCCUACUAAUUAAGGGUUAACUAGCAGGCUUCUAAAAUAAAUUUAGGUAGGACUUCUAGAAUUAGCUGGGGAGGGGGCAGCCUAUUUCCGGAGCCACACAUAAGCCCCAAAAGAACUGACCCUAUUCUCUGUUGUAAUUAUUGAUUGAUUUAUGUAGUGUCUGGUCCAGUCUUCUCUUUAGGAAAAUCACAACAAAAUUACAUCACAUGUUUUGUACUGUAUUUACUGUUAAGCACCGUUAGAUGAUUUCACCCUUGUUAGCUUUCUUCCUAGAUAAGGAACAUAGCCAACUCUUUGCUACAACACUUAGUAGAAGGCUGACAACACACACACACAGAGAGAGAGAGAGAGAGAGAGAGAGAGAGUUGGCGUAGAACAUGAGUUAGGGUCUUUGCAGACAUCACACUGUCUUGAAAAAAAGUGAAAUAAGAUGAUAUAACUUUAAACUGGCUGUGCCUUAGCAGGACCAUGAUGCAUUUUAGUUUGACGAUUAGGGAAAGACUGAACAUGUGCUCAGAGCUUGUCCUGUCUUCUAAUUUUCAUUUUAUCUCUUCAUUGUGCAUGCUUGAUUCUAAUUUGACGAUUAGGGAGAGAUGGAUCAUGUGCUCAGAGCUACCCUGUCUUUCAAUUUUCAUUUUAUCUUGUGCAUGUUUGAUCCUUCACAUGUUCCGUGUUUUCAGAAAAAUUAUGUGUGUUUUUAUCAGAAGUUCAGAACCAUUACAAACUGGAACAAUAGUUAUUUUUUACUUUUUAUGAUGCACAGCUUCACUUCUUGUUUAUACAUUGUAUGCUUAGUGACUACUGGUACUGCAAGUACAUAGCUCGAGGACUUCCUUGGCAAACUUCCUAACCUUUUGUGCUUUUUGUUACCAGCAAUUUAGCUGAUGCGAAGUCUACCAGUUUCCAGCCUCCACAAGUGCAGCAUGGUUGGGGUGGAGUGCCAGGACGCCCUUCUUUGGCUGAAAUAGUGAAGAUGGGCAGGCCUCAAGCUAAACCUGGGAGGCCGGUUGCAAAUAAUGCUGUUGGUGGUUCAGUCACUGCCAAUGCAUCAAAUUUGAACACAGUUUUGCCAUCAGAAGGGGAUCGUUUCACAGCUGAUAAUUUACCAAAUGGCACUAUUCAGGCUCCCUCUGUACCUAAGGAGGACUCUGUUGGCAUAUUACCUCUAGGACAGGGGUCUGAUGUGCCAGAAGGCAUUGGUGCUGCUUCUGCAAAUGUGAGUGCACCAAGAUCAUUUACCCUGGAGGUCAACGAUGACGUUCCUGGAGAUGCCAACACGUUUGAGCAAACUAAGGAGAUAAGUGCAAGCAAUGCCAGUGGCCUAACAUCUCCAGGACCAUUAUCCCCGUCUGAUAAGGGCACACCCUUGAAUGAUGACCUGAUAGAGAAAACAGAUCUCUUUGAUGAACAUUCAUUUGAACACAAUCAAAGUAAGUUAUGAAAGAUGUCAUUUACCUUUAUCUGUACUUUCAUUUGUGCGUAUGUGAAGAUCUGUUAUGCUAGAGCAUACCGGAGUUUAUAUUUCUGUAUGAUCCCGAGGUGUUUUUAUUUUCUGAUGCAUGUUAAUUGCCUUUUAUGAGCUCACCCACCGGGAAACAUGCAUGUCUUACCCUGAUUUCUGUGCUUUUUGCCUUGGGUCUCCGUGACUAUAGAUCUUAUGCAUCGUCCUGUUGUAUUUCAUGUUGCAUGCUCCCUCCUUGUCUCUCAUUGACCAGAAUUCCCUGUCUUUCUAGUCACUUUCUCUUUUGUAAAUUACAUAGAUCGGCUUUCUCAGUUUUAAUGAUUUCAUCCUUUAGAUGCAGAUUCAAAUGGUGAUAUGUCUACUACAGCGUAUCAGUUGGAACAUUUGACUAUACAUGAGGAAAACAGACCAAAACCAUCUGAUGAUAACCCAGCUGUAAUAAUCCCAGGCCACCUUCAGGUUUCCAAUGCCGAUUUUGCGCACUUGACAUUUGGUAGUUUUGUGUCUGGGACACUCGAUGCAUCAUGCUCCAUGAUGCCUGCCAAUAGUGACGUGGAGGUCACAUCAGUUCCUGAUAACCAGUCAGGGGACCAGUGUGAUGCCAGGUAUGAAUUUCUUCAUCAAAUUCGUUACGCCCCUUUCAUCAUGUGAAGUCCUUCAUUUUCAGAAUCUCCACCGUCUUCCAUUAUGUGACAUGUUUGAGUCCAUUUUUAGAAUCCACGAAUUUGAAAACAAGGAGACAGUAACUCCUGCUGCCAACGAGUACAUUGCUUCUGCACCAGAUAGUAAUGCGGAGAAUCCUGAUAUUACAUCAGUACAACAGUCUGAAGUGGGAAGAGCUGAUUUACUGGAUGUUACAAACAACACCGAAUACAAUUUAUCAUCUGACUAUGCCACGCCAACUGCAGUACAACCAGAGCCUACCGUGCAGACUUAUCUGCAGGACAAUCGUCAAAUGCAAAACAUUUCUCCUCUCUCUAACUUCAUGGUAUAUAUAUGCUCAUUUCUUAUCUUGGUUUGUUUAUAAGAACUUCCAUUGAUAUGUUGUUACUUUCCAUAUAUGUACAUGUAAACUGUAUUCAUUGUAUCUGCUAACCAGUGAUUCCAAAACACGGUUAAGAAAAGUCUUGCUCUGGCUUCAUUCUUCCUUCAUUGACAAACUUGUUUUAUCAUUGCAGCAAGGAAAUAUGGCAAAUGGCCUAUUGCCACCGGCAAUGCCACCUUUCCGUGAGUUGGAUCCAGCAUUCUCGCUGCUGCUUACUAACCCUCCAUUGGCUACACUGGUUCAUGGUACACCACAAUCGUCUGUGAACAAUGCAACUGUUUCCUCACAGCCACAAGAGGUAUUGACACUUCACUGAAUAAUGGACUAGACGACAACUCUUUUGAGAGUGGCCAUGUGCUACAAAUUCUAUAAUUCUGAUAAAAGGGUAAAAAUAUAUUUGUUUGCUGAGGAACUUGGGUUAGUUAUACAGUUUUACUUGCUGCACUCUAAAAUGUGAAGUUGCAGCCUGCUACAGGAUAACUCUUGCUUACUGCUCUUAGUGCAGCUAUGCUGCAUGUUAAUUGUUUACUAUGCCUAGAGUGGUAGUUAUCAAUUUUUUGGUCAUGUUUGGUCAAAUCCUGUUGUAGUUACAUCUGCCUCAUGCUUUAUUUUGUUCAGUUCCGUGUCUUGUGGCUAGGAACACUUCCAUUUGUGCCUAAUUCUGUGUGGGCAGUUUUUCCCCCCUCUAGAGAGCUGAAUUGUAGCUGUAUUAUUCAUUAGGACUUUAUUAUGCUGUUAUUUGUGUUAUUACUAAAAAAGCUGCAAUCUGCUGUUCUCUUGUUACUGCAGCACUAUUCUAAUAUGGUUUGUUGUUGUAGAAUGUUAAUCAAGGUGGUUUAUCCAACCCACAGUUGACCCACCCUCAGGGAAGCACUGGCAUUGCUCCAGGUCCUCCUCUGCCUCACCAUCUCGCCGCCCUUCAUCCUUAUGCUCAAGGAGGUCUUCCCCUUGGAUAUGCAAGCAUGAUAGGAUACCCAUCUUUGCCGCAAAGCUAUGCGUAUCUCCCGCCUGCUGCUUACCAGCAACCAUACAUAAACAGUGGUCUAUUCCACCAAGGCGCAGCUGCAGCUCCCAACUCGGGCGUGAAAUACCCAAUGCCACAAUACAAGAGCAAUGUUCCUCUUGGGAGCCUUCCACAGCCAGCCUCGAUGCUCUCCAACUACGUUGGAGGUUUUGGGACUGCAAAUGGCAUGCCUCAGAAUUUUGCCCUGAACCAAAGCAAUCCGUCGGCAACCACAGCUCCUGGAUUUGAUGGAACAAUGCCCUCCCAAUACAAGGAUGGAAAUCCUUACAUCUCUCUUCAGCAGGUAAGAGAUUCACACAAGAGUAGGGGAACUAGAUUUACAGUAGGAAAAUUGUAUGAUUGCUAACUUCCAUGCUUGUCUCUGCAGGGCGAGAACCCUGCAAUGUGGAUGCAUGGAGCUGGUUCGCGAGGAAUGCCGCCUCUUGCUGCCAACCCCUUGUAUGGCUAUCAAGGGCAGCAGCAGGGCUAUCAGGGGCAGCAGCAGGGCCAUCAAGGCGGCCUUCGGCAGGGGCAGAUGCCGUCACAGUACGGUGCAGCGCUCGGGCAGUCACAGCCAGGCCUAGGACCUGAACACCGAAACCCAAGCGACGGAAACUUGAGUGCCGCCGCUGCCGCCCAGGCUAACCAAAUGUGGCCGAAUGGCUACUGAUUCAGCCCCUCCUUGUCAGGUGUCCUGAAUAGAGAUAUAGAGUUGGUAGCUACUGUGAAAUUUUGGAAAGAGGCCCGUGAGAUGUGUUCCGGCAUGUUCAACCUGUAGUAUCUCCUAGGGGACCUCGGCUGUAGCUCAACUUGUUUAUUUUCAUCAGAUAGAAAAGAACGGUUUAUUGUCUGUCUGUCUGUUCUUCUUACUCUUUUUUUCUGUUGGUUUAUUACAUAUUGUGUGUAACAAUAAACCAGAAAAUGUCUAUCUAACAAAGCAGCACCAUUAACUUGUGAUGAGGAGGCGAAACAUGAGCUAUCUUUUUCUCUCAUCGCUUUUGUUUUCUUCUUCUCCAAGUAGGCAAAAAAAGUCUGAAUUUUUAUCCCUGCAGCUUACACUCCGAUACGUUUAGGAUUCUUUUUACAAGUGAAUGAAUUUUGUAGGAGUGUUAUGUUUUUGAAAGAUAUUUUGAAAUGCAAAUCUUGUCCAAGACUUUAGAAAGUCAACGCCAGGCCAAAGUUUAGUUGUGCAAUUCAUGUUCUGCCGGCCAGGCUAACUAGUUUAUGGAAAAUUUCUCACCAUUUUAAGCCGCUUAUCCCCUCUUUCCCGCUCGUUCUUCCACCUCGUCUCCUUCUAUCCUUGCCCAUCCUCAUCCCAUACCGAGGCCCGCUCCUUCUUUCACCUCGUCUCUUUCUAUCCUUGCCCAUCCUCGUCCCAUACCGAGGCAGCAAAGGUGAUGCUGGAUGCAUCCAUCAUGCUACGAGCAAUGGGCAUUGUCGCUGGCGACACCUGCUUCGGAGCAACACGGGGGAGGAACGAUGAGGUGCCGCAGGCGCCUGACGUCCCACGACGAUGAGAUCUCGACGCCGACGUCAUUGCCGCAUCCCCCGCUUCAUCUCAACGCCGGUGUUGCAAUGGAGCGUCGUUGGAGUUGCAACAAGCUUACCAGAGCCAUUGGUGCUGCAUCGAAGCUCCGUGGAGUUGCAAUGAAGCUUCGUUGGAGUUGUCGGUGUUGCGUUGGAGCCCCACCGGAGCUGCAAUGAAGCUUCGCCGAAGCAAUCGAUGUUGUGUUGGAGCCUCCGACGGGGCUGCAAUGGAGUUUCACCGGAUGCCCUCGGUGCUGCCAUGAAAGCUAUAACAAAGCGUGGCCGAAUGCCAUCCGUGUUGUUCUGAAGUUGUCGUAGGCUCGAUGCUGCUAUGGGGUUGUUACAAUUGGACGGUCAUCAUCGUGUAGAUCAGACGGAUACGAAGGUGGAUGAUUUCUCCAAGAAAUUAUCCGGUUGAUUUGUAACAGACGCCUUUGUUUAUAGCUCAACUUAUGUCCCCCCUCCGUUUUACAUUUUAAAUGUACUGAAGUCAUAUUUUUUUAGAUCUUAACACAUUUUUUUUUUUGUAAAAGUUGGUCAAAUGUUGACUUGUAACAAACUUAAAACUUCAAUAUUUUGAAACAGAGGGAGUAUGUUAUUUUUAGUUAGAAAAUGACAUGUCCUUUUUUUUCGAACACAAUACACACGCAAGCGUUUAUAUACACGCGCAUACACUCAUCCCUAUGAACACACACGCACACCUUACCCCUGUGAGCAUUUUCGAGAGGCUGAGCCGGCAUAUCAUCUUGAAAUUCAGAAAAAAUGCAAGCACCAGGACUUAAACCCUGGUGGACUGGAGAUACCAUUGUCCCUCUAACUAUCCAACCACAGAUUGGUUUGCAAUGACAUGUCCUUUUGUAUUAUUUUCUGUUGCAUCUCAUAUUAUAGUAGACCAGAGAUGUCUAAGGAAAGGUGUGAUUCUCAUUGGGUUUGAGUACAAAGAAAAGCUGGAUGCCCACAUCCAAUAUUCUCCACUCGAAGUUCAAAACCGUACGAUUUUGAACAUCUUUGCAACUUACACUCACAUGAUUCUUUGAUUUUUAUUUUUUCACUUUUUUACAUAGAAAACAAGUGAAUAAAUUUCGUUGGAGUGUACAUGUUUCAAAUUGGAUGAAAGUCCAUCCACCUUUCGGAAUUCUACGAAGAUUCUAUGAAUGUUCUGUAACAUAAAAAAUCAAAUAAAAUUGGAAAGUUAAUUAUUUAAACAUAAAUUCUAAUGAGUGCAGCUAUGCUAUCUCGUUGUUCCGAGCACAUCCACGUCACGACAAGUGCAAAGACAACUCACGUUACGAUAGGAUUUGACUCACAUUGGGAUAGCGCACCAGGAGGAAAUUCUGUCGGGACUUAGAUCCACAUGCAUUUAAUUAGCAUUUUUAAAAUUUUAAAAAGCUGUAACUUUUAAAUCGAGCAUCAAAAUUAAGAUCUGUUUUCACCCUUAAGUUAAUCACGGCGAGUUCUUCAAAACUAGAUCCCAUAUGGCUAUGUUUCAACUAAACUUUUUAGCCGAUCAACUUUGGAUGCUAUGAAUGCAACUUUAAUGCUAUAGGAAAGCAACUUUUUGUUAGUUUGCCUAGUAUGACUCUUUAUUAUUGAAAAUCUCUUCAAAGUUGGCUACCAUGACUAACAAGUGAACUAGCUUCACCUCUAAGUUUCCUACCAGAACUAGAAACUAUUCAACAAUAACUAGCUUCGCCUUCAAGUUGAUAGCAUUGUAGGCAACUUAGUUUCUAGCGAGUAGCUUCACAUCAUUGCAUGCAACACUUUCCGUUAUUGUAAGAAACUUAGUUUCAUAGAUAGGCAACUUACCAACAUCGAUGGGCAUAUUUUUUCAAUGUAUUGUAGGCUAGUAAUAUAGUAAUGGCAGUCAACUACCGGUAGGUAAUUUCAUAGUGUCUGUAGGCAACUUAGAAAAAUAAUGAUAUAAAACUUCACAAUAUUAGCAAGCAACUAAUUUGUAAAGUUAGGUAAAUGAGUAGCAAUAUUAGGCAACUAAUUACCAAUAACAGACAAUUGAGUAUCAAUGUUAGACAGUUUCAUAGUAUUUGUAGGCAACUGAUCAACUAUGAUAGGAGAUCGGGCAUCGAUGUUAGACAAUUUCAUAGUAUUUGUACGCAACUGAGCAUCACCCCUGGGCAACUCAUCAUCAAUAAUAGGCAAGUGGGUAUCAAAGUUGAGCAAUUUUAUAGUAUUUAUAGGCAAUUGAGCAUCAACCAUAGGCAACUGAUCAUCAUUGAUAGGCAACUUGGCAUCGAUGUUUGACAAUUUUAUAGUAUUUGUAGGCAAUUAAGCAUCAUCCAUACGCAGCUGAUCAUCAAUGACAUGCAACUAAGCGGCAACAAUAGGCAAGUUGAGAUAAUGUUGGCAAGAUUCGCAGGUACAGAUAGUGCAGUGAAGUUGAAUUUUAAAAAACUCGUUGUGAGAAACCUAAUCGUGAAAACGGAUUUCAAUUCCGAGAUGCAAAAGAUGUAGCUUUUUGAGAAACGGAAGAAAAAUACUUAAUUACGCUCGAGAAGAGAACCAUAUCACAACGCAGCUUUCCGUUGUGUGUUGUCUUAGUCGUGCUCGGGUUUGCUCCUUCCUUUUUUGGGAGAGCGCUCGCUCCUGCAAACCGGCGCCGAGACCCCAUUCUUUUUGUAAAAGCAUCCUUCCCUUUUCUUUUCACGCACCCCCAUCCAUUUCUUCCUUUGCGACCCUCCGUCGUUUUUCGUGGCCACGACUCAGGUGGCGGAAAGGGGUUAUGUUGCGGCCGCCGUAUUGGGGAUGUGCCCAGGAACACCAUGAUCAUGUUUUAACAAAUAUUUAUGUGUUUGUAUUGUGGUCCACUUCCCGACCGGUUGCGUGUGUGUAUAUAGGGUUCAGGGUCAUUCCUCGUUGACAACUACUCCCUCCGUCUCAUNNNNNNNNNNNNNNNNNNNNNNNNNNNNNNNNNNNNNNNNNNNNNNNNNNNNNNNNNNNNNNNNNNNNNNNNNNNNNNNNNNNNNNNNNNNNNNNNNNNNNNNNNNNNNNNNNNNNNNNNNNNNNNNNNNNNNNNNNNNNNNNNNNNNNNNNNNNNNNNNNNNNNNNNNNNNNNNNNNNNNNNNNNNNNNNNNNNNNNNNNNNNNNNNNNNNNNNNNNNNNNNNNNNNNNNNNNNNNNNNNNNNNNNNNNNNNNNNNNNNNNNNNNNNNNNNNNNNNNNNNNNNNNNNNNNNNNNNNNNNNNNNNNNNNNNNNNNNNNNNNNNNNNNNNNNNNNNNNNNNNNNNNNNNNNAUGAGACGGAGGGAGUAGCUAGCACACCGAGCGAGGAAUGUAGCGAGUGAUUCUUACUUAAGUAGCCGAGGCACAGGUGAUCAGCUACAUUCUUAGCUGGUUAGCUAGGUUGAUGCACAGUAGAUCGUCAAAAGAUAUAAUCGACGAUGCAUUUUGGCUAGCUAGCAUGGAAUGGAGGCAGUGCAGGUACGUGCGUGUCUAGUCACGCAUGCAUGGAUGUGUACGUAGGUGCAUGCACUAGUGGGUGCGUUUAUUUUUUUACUCUCUCCUCGUUUUUACCCCGUCUCCAAAGGCCGGGGAAAUUCCUGAUUUUUGAUUUUUUUUAAUUCUGUCUCAUUGAUCCUCCAUGCAUUUCAUCUUUGUCGGCCAAAUUUGAAAUGGUUAUAUUUUGCAUCAAAAGCUUGAUAUAUCAACCAAUUAAUAAAAAAAUCCGCCUUUUCCAUGACGAUAAAUUUGAAGCUAUGCCAAUAUUGUACUCCCUCCGUUCCUAAAUAUAAGACCUUUUAGAGAUUACACUAUGAACUACAUACGGAUGUAUGUCACUAGUGGAGAAAGGGGUAUUAGAACCGGUUGGUAAGGGUCUUUGGACCCGGAUACACAUCCGGUGCUACGUAUCCGGGACUAAAGCCCCCCCCCUUUAGCACCGGUCUCUUACAAACCGGUGCUAAAGGCCUCCACGUGGGCGCCGAAGAGUGCGCGCAGGCGGAGGACCUUUAGAACCGGUUGGUAACACCAACCGGUCCUAAUGCUUUUUUUUCUUCUUUUUUUUCCUUUUCUUUUCAGGGUUUCCGAUUCCGUAUUUCGGUGUUUUCGUGUUCCGUAUUUUCAGGGUUUCCGUUUACGUGUUUCCGGUUCCGUAUUUCCGUUUACGUGUUUCCGAUUCCGUGUUUCCGAUUCCGUGUGUCCGUGUUCCGUUUUUUACGAACACGGAAUCGGAAACACGUAAUCGGAAACACGUAUCCGGAAACACCGAUUCCGUGUUUGCGGUUAAGUGUUUCUGAUUCCGUGUUUGCGGUUAAGUGUUUCUGAUUCCGUGUUUGCGGUUAAAUGUUGAUGCACCAAAUAAAAGUACAUAUAUACAUGUAACACGAAGUACUGGACCGAUUAUCAUUACAUAAUUUGAAGUUCGUUUCCUAUAGCUGUAUACUUGCAUAGAGAAGGGAGCUGGCUAUUGGUUCAUAGGAUGGAAAAAUUCUCCGCCUUCAUCUAUGACUUGCGUGAGGAGAAAUCCUGCCAAUUCCUCUGCAACUGCCUUGCAACGUUGGAUUAGUCUGAGCAUCGCCCGCUUUCGUUGCAGCUUUAAAAGAAGUAGAUGAAAACAAUUAAGUUAUGAGCAAAACUAAACAUAAUUGAUGACAACGUAAAUAAAGUUCUGAAGAUCCGGUUACGUACCUCUAGAUUUCUGGAAGUACGGGAUUUCUCAUUGAUAAUCCUGUGAAUGUACUCGCAAACGUAGUAUCCACAAUAAUCAGUGCCCUGUGGUUGUUGCGGGACGCCCUAUAUACGAGAACAUAAUUCAGUCAAAUUAACAAUAAUCAAGAGAAUGGUAAUGGUAUUGAAACCAGGGUACGUAGUACUACUUACUUUGUUAAUCUGAAAGUGGAGCUUGUCUGCCCAUGUACCGGGUUCUUCCUUGAUGAACAUUUGCCAAACCCUGGCCGACAAAGAAAAAUGAAUAGAAGAGUUAAUUAUUACUUACUUGAUAUCAGGAAAUGAACAAAAAAGAGGCCGAUGAACGAAAGAGGCCGAUAUAUAUAUACCUUUGAAGCAUCUGACGCGCGCUCUUCCAUGUGUCAGCGUCCCAGGUUAACGGGUCCCAGACUUCAACUUGUCCUUGAUCGAUUCUAAUGAUGAACAAUAUGAAGUGGGACCUGUGCACGUGUACACACGCAGUCAUGCAUACUCAUCAAUUACACUUAACAUCAGGUAAGCAAAAUGGAAUGUGUACAAGACAGUAACACUCACUUGAAUCCGUAGGGCCAAAGUAUUUCUUUUUUUGGUACUUUGUCGCUUCAAAAACCUUAGCAAAUCAUCCGGUGUAUCCUUGUUGAACUUUUCUAUUGUCUCUUGAUGAAACGAAUACGGGUCAAUGAACCCAAAGUCCCAGAUUCCUGCCAGCCUGCAUUCACGAAUCUUCAUUCUGCAUAGUAGCGUACAAAAAGAAUGUCUCGUGAGUGAUAAUUAUACGGGCAAUGAACGCGAGCUUAACUAAAUAAUUAAAUUACACAAAUAAAUCACUUACAAACAGUAGCAGCUGACGAUAGCUUUGUCGAGGGCACGUUGAUUGUACAUCUGGAAAAAAUCAUCGAACCCAACCUCCACACCGUACUCUCCGAAGUAGUGUUGAUCCUGAACUGCCACCAUGAUACAGUCUCUCUUUUGCCUUGCGGCCUCCAAGUACCAAACAUGUAAAUUCCAUAGUUGGGUUGUUAGAGCACUUGGAUUUUCGACCAGAGGGUGCUCGGGCUUAUAUUUAUAUACCACAUCAGCAAUAGCGUAACCUACGUCGCCCAUGCGUGGACCGGACACUGAAGCCUGGUCAGAUAACACCUUGAGCGGGGCAAUUGACUGUGCUUCUUGUUGUCCGAGCUGGGGAACUUGUUUCCCGCAUUUCGUCUGCUCCGCCUGCUUCAUCUGUGCGGUGUGCAUCUUUUCAAUGUACCGUUCAUAGUCUGAAAGGGGCGGCGGUGGCGGCGGUUCAGGAUAAUAUAAGUUGUCGAUGGUGCGCUCAAUUUUCCACUUUGGUACGUUCUUCAGAGUUUCCUUCCAGAUGUCUGGAGGGGGCUUCAGGGGAAACCGUGCGAACCAUGCUUUGUUUUUGGCUUUCACGGCCUCGUCUAGUUCCUCCGGAGUCAUCAGGCCUGGUAACUUCGGGGGAGUCUUGACUUUAUUGGGUUUCCUUUCUCUCUUCUUGGGAGGAGUCCCGUUUCUUCUGAACUGCAGCUUCCGCUUUGCCGUACCCGUAGUGGGCGCAUCCGUCGGCUCACUGGAGUGCACGGGCGAUGGACUCUCGGCCUCGGGCUCCCUAUCUUCGUUGUGGGGUGGACUUGGAGGUGCGUUGGGGGGGUGGACUUGGAGGUCAUGCAUUCUCUGUACGAAAGUGAAAAAACUAUUAAAAAUAGGCUUACAUGUGGUGCAACAUUCAGUAAUUGUUGGAGGUGGUGCAUUUGUACCUGGAGGAGUCGGUGGCCUUGGUGCCGCGUUAGGAAACACGAUGUGUUUCUUCUUCCACAAGAUGAUACCAAGCUCCAUUUCUCCCAGUGUCUUCUCGCCUUCACCUCCAGGAAUAUCAAGCUCAAUUGACUGGCAUCCCGGCGUAACUGUUGACAACCCGACACGAGCAUGGGAUGCUGGAAUCUGACCACCAUGGUAGGUUGCUCCAGGUUGAUUCGGUAAAGCAUAGCCUGACGCCACCAUGAAGGAUAUGUUCCCCAUUGGCAUAUGUAUCUCACAGUUUGUCUUCUCCGUGACAUCAUCCACGGGGUAGUGAGGCGCCGACGGUUCGACUGCAGGACCGUCUUCUAGCUGCAGCUGCGUGGAACCCACGCUGCUUCUAUGCUGAGAUGGGACGGCAUCUGCUACAGGAUCGUCUUCUAAUUGCUGCUGAUCAGCGUCAGGUGCAGGAUCUUCUUCCUCCUCUACAGGGUGUCCCCCUUUCUUCAAGAGAAACGCCACCUUUUCUUCUAAUGUCGAUAUCCGUUCCAGCGCCUUCCUCUUGCUUCUACCACGGCUUCUGUAAGUGCCAAGGUCCGCCGGAAACCCUUAGUUUCACGAGGUAGUGGCUCCAAAGCCUCACCCAUUCCCGCGAGCCGAUCGCCGUGCUGAUCAUGUGGUUCUUGGGGAUCCAUAGCUCAACACCUGCUAGUAACAAGAAUUUAACUUAGCAAAAUUAUUUACGGAAACGUUUUACGGAACCGGAAAGUUUACGAAAAAGUUUUACGGAAUCGUCGGAGUCGUAAUCGUCGGAAAGUUUUACGGAAUCGUCGGAAAGUUUUACGGAAUCGUCGGAAACUUUCCCCAGCAAAACUAGUGAGAGGUCGGGGGGACAUGACGAAAGGGUCCCUUGGCCAACACAGUUAUAUUGUGUGACACAGAUUUCUUCACCGCAGUUCUGGCACAAAUGCUCGGGUGUUUUUUUUAGAAACGUCACCUCAUUUAUACAAUCAUAGGACUUUACGAUGUCCAUCGAUAAAACGGUAAGAAUAAAGUCUAAGGGUAAAAAUAGGAACUACAACAAUAUGGAUAUACAACAAUAUGAUAAGGCUCUAAAAUAGGAUAUACAACAAUAUGAAUAUAUGAUAUACAACAAUAUGGAUAUACGAAAAUAGGAUAUAUGAUACAACAAUAUGGAUAUAUGAUAUAUGAAAAAAUAUGGUACAACAAUAUGAUAUACAACAAUAUGGAUAUACAAAAAUAGGAUAUACGAAAAUAUGAACUACAACAAUAUGGAUAUACCGUGGGAGAAGAAGAUGAAGUGGGGCGGCGAGGAGGCGUCGCGAGGAGGCUGCGAGGAGGCGGCGAGGAGGCCGCGCGAGGAGGCGGCGACGAGGCGACGAGGAGGCGGCGACGAGGCGACGGCGGGCGGCGAGGAGGCGGCGUGGGGCGGCGAGGAGGCGGCGAGGAGGUCGAGUCGGCGAGGAGAGAAGGCGAGGAGAGAGGCGGCGAGGAGAGAAGACGCGCGGGAAGGCGAAAAGUUGGCGGCCCGGAGAGGUCUAGGAGCCUUUAGCACCGGUUGGUGUUGACAACCGGUCCUAAAGACCCUUUAGCACCGGUUGUUAACACAAACCGGUACUAAAGGUCCAAAAAUUGUUGUUGUUAAAAACCUUUUUUCCUAACCCUAACCCACCUUUAGGGCCGGUUGUUGUUAAAAACCGGUCCUAAAGGUUUUUUUUCUUUUUCCUUUUUUCCUUUUUUCCGGUUUCUGUUUCCUGUUUUCUUUUUCUUUUUAUUUCCUUUUUCUUUUUCCUGUUUCUUCUUUUAUUUUUUUUUUGUUUUCCUUUUCUGUUUUCUUUUACAUUUAUUUAUAAAAUCAAAGUAGACUCAAAAAGCUUUUGUAAAAUUAAAUAUUUAUAAAAACAUAUUUAUAUUUUCUGAUAUUUUGUGUAAAAAUUGUCUAAAUGUCAUUUAAAAAAAUAAAAAAAAUAAAAAAUAAGAUAUUUAUCAAACUAAUUUGAAAAUAUAAAGAUAUUUUUUUGUUUCCUUUUUCUUUUUCCUGUUUCUUCUUUUAUUUUUCUUUUUUUUCCCUUUUCUGUUUUCUUUUACAUUUAUUUAUAAAAUCAAAGUAGACUCAAAAAGCUUUUGUAAAAUCAAAUAUUUAUAAAAACAUAUUUAUAUUUUCUGAUAUUUUGUAUAAAAAUUGUCUAAAUGUGAUUUAAAACAAUAAAAAAAUAAAAAAUAAGAUAUUUAUCAAACUAAUUCAAAAAUAUAAAGAUAUUUUUUUGUUUCCUUUUUCUUUUUCCUGUUUCUUCUUUUAUUUUUCUUUUACAUUUAUUUACAAAUUGUCUAAAUGUCAUUUUAACACUUAAAAAAUAAAAAUGAUAUUUAUCAAAAUGAUCAAAUUUAGUGGAAACUGGUCAAAUUUUUGAUAUUUAUCAAAAUGGUCAACACAAUUACAUAAAAGGUUUAAUACAUUAUUACACAUCACCAACAACACCCCCUAUCUAUUUUUCUUCUUGCCUUACUUCUGAUUGCGCCGUAACCAUGAGUAUCUUCAUCAUUUAACGGGAUGCUUGGAUCAUCUUUGACUUUGAAGGGAGGAAUUUCAUCAAAUUUAUUGUAAUCUUCUGACAUGUCUGUCUUGUCCUCGACUCCCACGACGUUUCUUUCCCUGAAAGAACUAUGUGGCGCCUUGGCUCAUCGUCUGAUGUAUUCGCUUCCUUAUCUUUUAUUUUUCUCGGUCUGCUAGACAUGUCCUUCACAUAGAAAACUUGAGCCACAUCAUUGGCUAGGACGAAUUGAUCAUUGCCGUACCUAAGAUUCUUCUGAUCCACUGUUGUCAUUCCGUACUUCGGGUCUACCUUCACGCCUGACAGGUUGAACCAUUUGCACCAGAACAAAAGGGACCUUAAAGGAAGGUCCGUAGUCAAGUUCCCAUAUCUGCUCUAUGUAACCAUAGUAUGUGACCCUUUGCCCGUUGUCGUCUUUUGCAUCAAACCGGACUCCACUGUUUUGGUUGGUGCUCUUUUUAUCUUGGUCUGCCGUGUAAAAUGUGUUACCAUUUAUCUCGUACCCUUUAAAGGUCAAUACAGUCGAAGAUGGUUGCUUGGCCAACAAGUAUAGCUCAUCUUCAACAAUGUUGUCAUUAAUGAGACGUCUUUGCAACCAACCGCCGAAAGUCUUCGCGUGUUCUUUAGCAAUGAAAUCUUCAGGUUGCUCCGGGUAUUCCGAGCAUAAAAUAUCCUUGUGUUCCUGGAUAUAUGGAGCCGCCAAGCUGGAAUUAACUAAAACUGUGUAGUGUGCUUGAGUGAAAGAUUGCUCGUCCAUACAUGUUCUUGAUUUCUUUCCUAGCGUGCCUUUUCCACGCAGUCUCCCCUCAUGGCGCGACUGAGGAAUACCGAUCGGGUUCAGGUCAGGAAUAAAGUCAACACAAAACUCAAUGACCUCCUCUGUUCCAUAGCCCUUGACCAUGCUUCCUUCUGGCCUAGCACGGUUUUUAACAUAAUUCUUCAAGACUCCCGUGAACCUCUCAAAGGGGAACAUAUUGUGUAAGAAUACAGGACCGAGAACGGAAAUCUCUUGGACUAGGUGAACUAUGAGGUGCGACAUAAUAUUGAAGAAGGUUGGUGGGAACACCAACUCGAAGCUGACAAGACAUUGGACCACGUCCUUCUGUAAACUUGGUAGAGUUGCUGGAUCGAUUGCCUUCUGAGAAAUUGCGUUGAGGAUGCACAUAGCUUCACAAUGGGUACUCGCACGUUUUCUGACAGAAGCCCCCUCAAUGCAAUCGGAAGUAACUGGGUCAUGAUCACGUGGCAGUCAUGAGACUUUAGGUUUUGGAACUUUUUCUCUUCCAGGUUUAGUAUUCCUUUUAUGUUCGACGAGUAGCCAGACGGGACCUUGAUACUGCUCAGGACUUGGAAAAAGAUCUCCUUCUCUUCCUUGGUAAGAGCGUAGCUGGCAGGACCUUUGAAAUUCUCUGGAUUCAUCAGGUCGUCUCGUUCGUGCAUACGUUGGUGGUGUAGCCGUGCUUUUGGUGUAUCUCUCGACUUCUUCCCAUGCACGCCCAAUAAGUUUAGCAGGUUCACGCAAAUAUUUUUGUCACGUGCAUCACGUCGAUCGCAGAGAGAACCUCUAGGAAUUUCCAAUAGGGUAGUUCCCAGAAUAUAGAUUUCUUCUUUCACAUGGCUACGUGGUUGUCGGCGUCAUUCGGAACAGAUUGUGCGCCAGGACCCUUACCAAAGAUUACUUUUAUAUCUUUGACCAUGUCAUAUAUAUCAGUACCUUUAGGGAGGGUUGGCUUCCUCCGUGUAUCUGCCUCGCCUUUGAAAUGCUUUCCUUUCUUUCUUACGGGAUGCCUGUCUGGAAGAAAUCGACGAUGCCCCGGGUACACAUUCUUGCCUAUAUGUAUACUUCCAGUCUCGCCUAAACAGUGUGUGCAUGCGCUGUAUCCCUUGUUUGACUGUCCUGAGAUGUUACUAAGAGCGGGUCAAUCAUUGAUGGUUACAAACAGCAACCCUCGUAGGUCAAAUUCCUCCUGUUUGUACUCGUCCCACACACGUACACCUUCGUCAGCCCACAACUCUAAAAGUUCAUCAACCAGUGGCCUCAGGUACACAUCAAUGUUGUUGCCGGGUUGCGACAGGCCUGGGAUAAGCACUGGCAUCAUAAUGAACUUACGCUUCAUGCAUAACCAAGGAGGAAGGUUAUAGAUACAUAGAGUCACGGGCCAGGUGCUAUGACUGCUACUCUGCUCCCCAAACGGAUUCAGGCCAUCUGUACUUAGACCAAACCUUAAGUUUCUUGGGUCACGUGCAAAGUCCUCGUACUUAUCGUCGAUGUUUCUCCACUGCGACCCAUCAGCGGGUUGUCUCAGCAUAUCGUCUUCCUUACGGUCUUCUUUGUGCCAUCGCAGCAACUUGGCAUGCUCUUUGUUUCGGAACAAACGUUUCAACCGUGGUAUUAUAGGAGCAUGCCACAUCAUCUUGGCAGGAACCCUCUUCCUGGGACGAUCGUCACCCUCAACAUCACCAGGGUCAUCUCGCCUGAUCUUAUACCAAAAUGCACCGCAUACCGGGCAGGCAUUUAAAUUCUCGUGCUGACCGCGGUAGAUGAUGCAGUCAUUGAUGCAUGCAUGUAUCUUAUGCACUUCCAAUCCUAGAGGGCAGCCAACCUUCUUUGCUUCGUACGUACUGCAGGGCAGCACGUUAUCUCUUGGAAGCAUCUUCUUCAUUAUUUUCAGCAGCUUUUCAAAUCCCUUGUCAGAUGUUCCAUUCUCUGCCUUCCAUUGCAGCAAUUCCAGGGUGGUGCCCGGCUUUUUCUGGCCAUCUUCGCAAUUUGGGUACAACAAUUUUUUGUGAUCUUCUAACAUGCGCUCCAACUUCAACCUCUCGUUUUCACUUCCGCAGUUUAUCUGUUCUUCACGAAUGACCUGACGAAGAUCAUCAUCAGACUCAUCAACAAUGUCCUUAUGUUCAGGCUCGUCUUCCCCCAUUUCAGUAUCACCGUGUUCACUGAACAUAGGAUAGUUAUCAUUAUCAUCUUCUUCUUCAUUGUCUUCCAUUACAACCCCUCUUUGUCCGUGCUUGGUCCAACCAAAAUAACUGGGCAUGAAGCCUUCUUGCAACAGGUGGGUGUGUAUGGUUCUUGAGUUAGGGAAAUUCCUCUUAUUUUGACAUUUUUUACAUGGACAAAAAAUAAAUCCAUUCUGCCUGUUUUUCUCAGCCACAUUGAGAAAAGUAUGCAUGCCAUUAAGGAAUUCGGGACGACGUCGAUCACUGUACAUCCAUUGCCGGUUCAUCUGCAUUAUAUAAAUUUAUCAAAAACCAUUAUGCUAAAUCAUCAUGACUAAAUUAAUUAAUUAAUACAAAAAGUUCAUCACACGUUAAAACCAAAGUAGCGACCAUACAUAUAUAGUUCUCAUAAAAAUACACACUGAAACCAAUCAUAAAAACUCUCUCUAAUUAAUGCAUUUAAAAACAACAACAAAUGCGAUCAAAAUCGCAACAAAGGUAACAAUUGACCCGACGGCAUAAUGAUACCAAGCCUCUUUACUAAUUGCAUAUUUUCUAAUCUUUCUAAUCUUCAGGCGCAUUGCGUCCAUCUCGCUCUUGUGACCAUCGACGACACCGGCAAGAACCUUUUCCAAGGUCAUCUUCUCUCUUUCAGUUUUUUCCAACCUUUCUUCAGUUUUUUUCAAUCUUUCUUUCAGGCCAACAUUUCCUUGUUCAACUAAGUGUAACUUCUCAACAAUAGGGUCGAUUGGCAUUUCCGGUUCCACUACCUCCUAGAUAAAAAUAUCUAUGUCAAGUUGGUCGGCGUAAUUAAUUGUCAUAUAAUCAGGAAAUGAAAAUAUGUAGUUAUAAAAGAUAAUAUACCACAUCCGAAUCAUAGACUGGACAAGGGCCAACGGGGACGGAUAUCAAAACCAUGGCGCUAUAUAUAUAAAAAAAAUCUUACACAAUAAGAAAAUUAUAUACAAGUAAAUAUGUAAAUCAUACAAAUCAAAAUUUGUUUUGGUAAAUAAAAACAAUAGGCUCACCAAGGUUGUGUCGGUGACGGGGCGAUCGACGGCGGUGAGGAAGGGGACAAGGCGCGCGACACUAAAAAAACCAUAAAUCAUAAUUAAAUUUGAGCUCAAAUUGCAUAUGUAUACAUAACAAAUGAUGAACUCUCUCUAGCUUAGGCAUUUCAUCAAACACCUAGCUAGCACAACAAAAAUGAAAUGAGCAAGAAAACGAGCAAAACUUGCAAUGCCGGAAGAGGGAAUGUUGAUGCUAACCGUAGGACCGAUGGGUGCCAACAAUCUUGACAAAUGGUGGAGAAAAAUGGGGAUGUAUUAGAGCUCCCAAGAGGAAGGAGAGAGCAAAAAUGGAGUUGAGCUCGAGCUGGAAAAAAUGGAACUGAGCUUGGAGUGGAAUAUAGGGGAGGGCUUUAGGACCGGUUUGUGUUAAAAACUGAUGCUAAAGGGUCUGACAGCGGGGCCCCGCAGUUGCUGCAAAAAUAAGAAAAACUUUAGCACCGGUUUCUGAUACAAACCGGUUCUAAAGGGUCGGUCCACUGGCCCCCCCUCCCUGCAGCAAACGGUCCAAAACCCUUUAGGACCGGUUUGUGUCCUAAAGGCCUUGCGGCCAUUUGCUGCAGGGAGGGGGCCCAGCGGACAGACUCUUUAGAACCGGUUUAUAUCCAAUCCGGGUCCAAUGUGGUUGGCUCAAUGCCCUGUUUUCUACUAGUGUGUAGUCAUAUUUUAAAAUGUAGAUUCACUUAUUUUGCUCCGUAUAUAGUCUAUAGUGAAAUCUUUAAAAUGUCUUAUAUUUAGGAACGGAGAGAGUACAUAUUUGGACGAAAACCCCUCGUACGAGAUGUUGGUCUAGCUCCUCUGCCGCCGCCUCCUGUCCGAUCCUCUAUCAUGCAAGUCGAGGUAUCAGCAGGGCCAUGGGAUGGGUUGCAGCAGUGCCAUAGGAUGGUUUGCAGCGGUACGAGAGAAUUGCGGACACUGGGAAUUAAAGGAGAGAAAACUAGAGGUUUUGGCGAGGGUGUGCGUGUGUAUGUAUGGACCGGGAUUAUUGCUCGUUGAAUACUUGCUAGCUUGCCGAGCGAGGAAUGUAGCUCGGGGCCGGGGCCGUUGCUCGUUGAUGAAAUUAUGGAUUGUUAAUGGUAACUUUAUCGCUCGAAAUUGAGCACCCGUUGAGGCCGUGUAGUAACGGGCGCGUGUUACUACAUCCAUCCGUGUUGGAAAAGGAAAGAGGCGACGACCGAGGGGCGAGGGCCGCAUGGAUUAUGACACAUGUAUGUGAUGUGCUCGUGGGUGGUAGGAAUGGAUUGUAAAACGGAAACAUUUAUAAAUGGUGUGUAGGCCAAACCGUUUGGCUAGACGCCUCGGCACCCAUCGCUGCUUGCGGGCCAUGUGGCCAUUCGUCGGGUCCAUAACGGUGAUUUUUGCUGUAGCCGUACUUGUUUUUUUUCGCUACUACGGGUCAAGUGUUUUGUUACAUCCAUCAAGCAAAAACUGCAACCUUAUGAUGAUGACGAUUUUGCUGCAACCGUAAUUGGUUUUCGCUAGUACCAGCGAUUUUUUUUGCUACAUCCAUCAAGUCAUAGCUGCGACCUCACGACGGCGAUUUGUUGCAACCGUAAUUGAUUUUUUCUACUACCAUCGAACUUUUUUUGCUAGAACCAGAAAAAAAACAGAGGAGCUGCAAACAAUACCUAAAAAUGUUGCAACAGGUUUGCAAGAUUGUUGCAAUGCUGUUUUUAAAAGCUACAACCAGAGAAACGGCAUGCACAACCAGCCACAGCCAAAGGCAAUGAUGUUUUUUGCUGCAACCCGUUAUAGACUUUUGCUACAAUCGGUGACAUAAAAUAUUACAACCAAGCGGCCACGCUAUGACCAGCAAGGUCGUUUUACUGGAGCGUGUGAGAUCGAUUUUGCUAUAACCGAAGCAUUUUUUGUUGCAAACAUUGCCGACAUUUUCUACUACCGAUCGGAAUUGUUGCGACGACGAAGGCCCAAUCAAUACGCUAAUCAAGACCCUUUACGCGCUAGGUAGCCGACCGACGGAAAGUUUCGGCCAAAGAACGCAGAUUAGUCCCCAUUGUAAAAUGGGCGGAGCCAAACCAGCAACAGCCACGGGUCGCCUUAGAGCACUAUCCUGGAUUUGGACCUCACAUGCUGGGUAGUUGCUACAAUCCGCAAAGGAGUUGGGUCUCACGCCCGGGCCUAGGCCCAGGCCUGGGGUUUAGGUCCUGUCUUCGCUUCUGGAUUGUAACACAAUUCUCCAAUGCACCAGUUGACUGUGUGGUUUACCUUUUCUCUUAGCCCGUCAUCAUCUAGUGCUGAUGCUAGAUAGAGAGGAGAAAAAGAAAGAAAUCAUAUUGCAGCGAUGCCGGCAGUGCAGUUGUAUGCAUGCAUGUGUUUGUACUCCCUCCAGAUGGGAAUGUAAGUUGGGCACGAGUAAUUGGUCAUUGACUAUAACUAAUGAAACACGUAUUUCCUUCGUAAAUUAAUAUAAAAAUAUUUAACUUAUUACUUUAAUAUUUUAAACUUUCUUAUAUUAUUUUAUACAGAAAGUAUAAUAUAUCAUAAAAAACAUAUAUCUUUAUAAAGUUUAUUCGACAAUAAAUCUAAAGAGAUAUUAUUUACACGGAAAGCCUUCAUAGCUUGAUAUUUCCGUGAUAACGCCCACACGUGUGGUGCGAAUAACAUCUGUCCACACGUCUAUAAUACACAGACCGCGUCACGUCACCAUAUGCAUGCAUGUAGGGAUCUUUUUUGAUUUCCAGUUUUUAAAAUGUUUUAUCUCUGAAAUAAAAAAUUCGAUUGAAGAUCCGUUUUAUCACCAUUAAAUUCAUCACGACGAGAUCUUCGAAACUAGAUCUCAUAUCAAUAUGUUUCGACGACUUUUUUUGGUUAAAAGUUGCCAUGUCUAUUACACAUGAAUUAUCGUGGUGUUUACACUGAAGUUGUUACGAUAUGUUUCAGGCAUUUUUUCUUCUACCUUUAAAAGUAAAUUUUGAUGGAUUACUAAAAAUUUUCCAUGAUCCAUGCAUUAAAUUUGCCGUGGUUAAUUACUAAAAAUUAUCAUGGUCAAUUAAUAAAAAAUGCCGUAAAAAGUAGUUGAAAAUAUAAUGGUAGCAUUAAAUCUAAAAGAAAAAUAUAGAUAGAACAUGUCAUGGCAACUUUAGUGUAAACACUAUGGCAACUACAGUGCAAACAUCAUGUCAAAUUUUGGCCAAUUUUUUUCAUCAAAACAUAUGAACAUGGUAUCUAGUUUUGAAGAUCUCGUCGAGACGGAUUUAAUGAUAAAAAUAAAUUUUUAAUUGGAUUUUUUAAUUAGGAGAUAGAACAUUUUUAAGCCAAAAAUAAAAAAAGAUGCUUGUUGAUGUCAUCUAUUUUGACGUGACAAAAUGAAUGAUAAUGGAGGCGUUUGGGCGAGUUGCAAAACGCCCACAUGUGUGAAUGUUAUCUUUUUCGUUUCUUUUCAGCACUGUACACAUAUGCUCAUACAUGCGGCCCUCAAGUGGUGUUUAAAAUUGUGUGUGUGUGUGUGUGUGUGUUUCUCUUCAUGGUAAAUUAAAUGGUGCAGGAGUUGGAUUCCUUAAUUCUCGUCCUGAUGACAAUUAGCACAAUUAGCAAAUCUUAUAGAUCAAUUCAAAUAUGGCAUCAAAAUAUUGCGGAAAGAGUUACACAAAUUGGAUCUUAAACAAUGCACAACCUAAUGAGCUACAUUGGUGCGGAAAAGGAAGCUAAAAGUCAUAUAAAUUUACACAGAAAGCCUUCACAACAUGAUCUUAUUUCUUUCCAAUAAUAACAUAUUAAGAAACGUAGACGACACAACACGCACACACACAUGCACUCACCAUGUAAACACACACACACACACACACAAGAAACCGAGAGACUGAGCCGACGCAUCGAUCUAAAGAUUAACGGAAUCAUCGCAAGACACCUUGUAGCAUCAUCAGGUGAUACAAAGCAUAAUGAAGUCACUAUCGGCCCGUGCAUAAUAAGUAAGAUAAUAGAUACACACGAUCGACGACUUGAUCUCAUGAGUGAACGUGCACGGCUUGGUCUUGAUCUUGUUGGAUCAUUGAACGUGCACACCUUGGAGUUGGAAGCUGUAGUAGUCAUCAGUCAUGGCCAGAUCGAUCUUGUAAAGAAAACCUGGCGUGAUUCUCAGGGUCUCAGCUUGUAUUUGGAUAUAUCGACACAAGGCCAGGAGUAUCCAAAUGUCCGACCCCCGACAAUAUGCCAUUGUAUCCUUUCAUAUGGUGGGCAAAAGCCGGGCCCCUCAUGAGCGCGAGGAAGGCACGGAGGAGCGCCGCCGGGCCGGCUUCUCUGACGCCGGAAAGCGGAGGCUCCUCCCCCUCCAACGUGCGCCACUCGGCAAGAAUCCGAAGGUCGUACAACUGGGGGAAGAAGGAGCGGGAAUUCCAUACGAAGUUGUUGCGGUCGGAUACCACGCGGACGACAUUAGUUUUGAAAAAACAGUCGAGCAGGUGGCAAAUGUCCUCGGCGCCGUCGCAGGUGACCCAUGUGACGGCUGGGUUGUGGACGGCCUGACAGGCCCACAGAGCUUGGCCUAUGUGGUCGCGGUGGAUGCGGCGGCGGAUUGGAGGCUCGACGCCCAGCUCGACCAAGAACCGGUCGUCCGCGGCGAGCAGCGGUCCGAUGUUGAACCGCCAGACGCGGCCCAGGGCGACGUCGCCGUCGCGGUUGAGGAGCGCUAGCGCGAGCUGGAAGAAGCGCGCGUCCCUGACCCUGGUGUGGAGGCCGUAGCACCUGUAGUUCAGGUCGCGCGGCAGCCCCACGACGUGGUAGACGCCGUCCCGGAAGAGGAGAUGGCCGGCGCCGCGGACAGGCCGGGGCGGGAGGUCCUUGUACGUGGCCACCACCGCGAUCGGGAAGUCUCGGAAGAGCUGCGAGAUGCGAGCCAGCUCCGCCUCCUCGUUGUCGGCCCAGACGUCCACGACCCGGGCGUUGGCGGCGGAGGUAUGCACCGGCGGCGACAUAUCCCUGCUAUGCUAUGUCAGGGGAAACACCACCGGCGGCGAUGAGAUUUUAUAGCAAACUCACCACCGCUGGGCAGAUCCUCUUGGAAUCGGAACGGAAGAGGUUCCAUGUUGCAUCCGAGUUCUCAAGGAAUACGGAUCGAUCGGAGAGAUCGCGGGGACAGUUACCGUACCGAUCGAGGUCCAAGGCCCAUAAUCCCCGUAAAAUCGGAGAGAUCGCGCGCGCACUCGUAUAACUGGGCCAAGCCAGAGCAGGUCCAACCUUCUGUUCCCAGGCUGUUUAGAAAUUAAAGCACAUCUAGAUGAAAUGAAAUAAAUAAAACAUAGAGCCAAGAAAAUAAUCACUUUUGCCAAGUGCCUCUUUGUAAACUGCCUUUACACUGGAUAUGCAAAUCCUUUAAAAAAAAUCAAAAGCACGCCAAUGACAUAACAUAUUUUUAUAAAAGUCAUAUGAUAAUUACAAGAAGCCUACCCAAACGCGAACAAAAGGGCAAACCAAAUACCCAUAAGAAAAGGGCAAACCAAGUACACACUGUUAAGGAUUAAUUAUAAUCCUAAUAAUUCAGGCUUAACAACAGCCUUUGUGGCGUCCUUUGUAAAGGUCGCGUGUGUUUAACGGGUCCCCUCACUUUAUAUAUAUAGCCUUGUAUGUCAUCAAUAAAGAGAUACUGUUCAUUUUAAUCGCUUCUCUUUCUCGUUUACACUAACACGUUAUCAGCACGCUCUCCUUCGUCUGAGCGACUCGAAGAAGCGAUGGCAACUCCACGUUCGUCAUUGACGAAGCCGAUGGCCAACCCGUGAUGAAUGGCCAUGGCAGGAAACACGAGAGAGAUUAGGCCAUCCCGACGGUCAAGGAUGCCGCUCUCGUCGCUGAUGACCACACGCAGGCGACGCGCCGAAGGAGCCCAGGUGCCGGCGCUCGAUCACGGCGUCCUCCAAAGCAUGGUUUGGUCUCGCCCUCUCCUUCCCUUCUCACAGACGUAGAUAGCAAAGUCCGCAUAAGCGGAAGUCUCCGGCAUGGCCGACCGUGGCGCAUCAGCGACCCGGGCCUGCUAUGCGAGGCAUGGUGGUGUGGCAAGGACCUACAGACCGGAGGCUCGACGUUGAUGGAGGGGCACAGCCGGCCUCGACCUCGCGGCGCGCGGACCACGGCGCCCUCCCCAUCACGGCUCGCGACGGAGCCCACAGCGGUUCCUCGACGACGACGCACCCGCGACGGAGGUGAGGCAGUGCCCGAUGCGGCUCCCGGCAUCCGGUGUGGAGUGCUUGCGGUCGUGGUCCUGCCCACGGCGAAGAUGGUGCGGGCUCUUCCUUCGGCUGACUUGUCCAAGCCCGAGCCCCGUACGAGGCGUCCUCCGACGUGGCUUCCUAUGGAAUCGACGGAGGCGGCGCUAACGCAGCAAGGCGUGUGGUGCGGCCAGCCCCUCCCGGACAGCAGCCAGCGGAGGCAACCCCGAUGGCACACGACGGGAGCGCACCAUGGCGGCAUCGUACGGCACACUGCAGCCUCACUCCUCCCGGCAUCCCGGAGGAUCGACCACAGGCAUCGACGGCGCGAGGCAAACCAACACCAUCUUGGCGUGGCCGCAACGGCGCCCUCCGGCGAUCUCACACGACGCGGUUUUUCUUGGCCCCGAAAAUGGCAGCAACCCUCCAGCGUGGUCCUCCUAGGUGACGUUGUUAUAACCGCUGGCUGGAAAUGCCAUCAGGCGCGGCGGCAGCACUCGGCGCCCUCGAGCACGGCCCUCGGCCGACGACGCGGUGUCUAGCCUACGCGGAAGCAGCAUAUGAGGCGCAAGGCGAGGAGAAGGCAACGUCGCAGGGCUAGCGCACGACUUGAACGCGACACGACCGGCGACGAGGCACCGUUCCUAACCGAGCGCGGCUGUGACGGGAAUAUCCCAUUAGCAACCGCACGGGAGAAAAAGAUUGGGGAAUCUUAUCCUUUGGCAAAUUUUCCACUUCAGCCCUUGUAAUUUUAUUAAUUCGUGGAUUUGUGCAUGCUAUUAUUUUGUGUGCCCUCAGGCUUAUGAGUCGCCCCCAGUAUUACAUGCAAAUGCCGCAUAAGUCAAGCAAAUUUAACUUUAGCCCUUUGGCUAAAUUAAUUAUACAAACAAGCCAUCAGGCCAUUUGAACACUAAAGUCAUCAUAUUUGUGUACGUAUGCAUAUUUUGCAGUACAUGUACUACUAUAGUAAUGCUAUUGCAGAAGGAAGAAUUGCUUUGCAUACAUUUCGGACNNNNNNNNNNNNNNNNNNNNNNNNNNNNNNNNNNNNNNNNNNNNNNNNNNNNNNNNNNNNNNNNNNNNNNNNNNNNNNNNNNNNNNNNNNNNNNNNNNNNNNNNNNNNNNNNNNNNNNNNNNNNNNNNNNNNNNNNNNNNNNNNNNNNNNNNNNNNNNNNNNNNNNNNNNNNNNNNNNNNNNNNNNNNNNNNNNNNNNNNNNNNNNNNNNNNNNNNNNNNNNNNNNNNNNNNNNNNNNNNNNNNNNNNNNNNNNNNNNNNNNNNNNNNNNNNNNNNNNNNNNNNNNNNNNAUUCAUCAUUACUGUGAGGUCUACAUCUUGUUAAUUUUACAAGAUGAUUACCUUCAAAGUGCUCUUCCUAAUAUUAAUAUUAGAUGUGACUGCCUUAGAAUAUCAUAAGGUUAUAUUGACAUCUACUGUAAUUUUUUACAGACUGUCCACUAUUACUGCAAGGUCUACAUCAUGUCAUUCUGACAUAUGACUACCUUCAAAGUGAUUUUCUUAAAUAUAGCACAACAUAAGGUAAUAGAUAUAUGAACAUCUACUGAUAAAAGUCAGACUAUGUUUUCUAUUACUGCGAGAUCUACACCAUAUUGGUGAUUAUCUUCAAAGUGUUAUCCUAUAAAAACUGAGGUCUACACAUAUGGCUAUAUGGCAUCAGUCGUACUAAAAUUUGCUCCUCCGAAGCAAUUGUUGUUGUUCACUAAAAUGAUUUACUAUGAUAGUAAAUUCAUGCAUGAUUAUUACAUGUUGAUGGUACUAUCUACCAAUAUCAAUUAUUCAAGCCUCAUUUUGUUUGAAUAUGUCAUAGAGAAUUAUGCAAAUAUUUGCAUACUCCAAUGAUUACCUUUUACUACAUUGAUAAAAUACAUGGCAAUGGAGCUUAUGUCACUAUUUCUAAUUAAACUGUCGUCCAUCUAUCAAGAUGGACCCCAUAAUUUAUGGAAAUAAUUGAGUGGAUCAACACUUUCACAAGGUCCACAUCACAUCAUGGUUAUACUUUCAUAGUGACUAACCAAAUUUAAGCAUGCAAGUCUAUACGUUUUGGCAGUGACUCUAAAGUCACAUACUUCCUCAAGAAUGAAGUCCAAAACAUUAGCAAUAAUUUCAUCACAUCACAUGUGUUGUACUAAAGGAUAUACCCAGGUUCACCAAGGAUCACCUUGGCCAUGAUUGUUCUCAAACAAAUCAUUUAUUCAUAGAUGACACUUACUACUAGAAGUAAAUUAAAUAAAUGCAUAAGCACUUUCAAGUAAGCAUGGUUGACAUUUCCAAAUACAGUAAGUACAUGUUAGGUGAUAUUAUUUAUUGUAAGAUGAUUCAUGACAUCAGUCAUUAUAUCCACAUGCGGCAUUUGUGGCCACUAUAACUCCACCUUCGAAAUAUAUGUCAUGACUAUUCUCUUAAUAGCUAAAUAUGUUUAUAUGUAUUUCGUUUGUCACCAACUUCACUUAGUUCUCAAACUAAGUACAUAAUGGACGAAUAUUUAUUCAUCUUGAAUAUUUCCUUUAAGAGAAACAUGCUGCCAUGCGCACAUCGCGAAUAAUCACCCGUUCGUUUCUCAAGACCUCAAGUCUAUCGCAGGUCACAUUUUUGUCACUCAAUCAACUUUAAGUUGAGAUCUCAUGAUUAAAUAUUUUCAUCCGCAUAUCCAGUUGAAAAGCCCUCAAUACACUUUACAUAUUCUUAUGAUAGUCCUACCAUUUUCAUGAUGAAGAAACAUGGAAUUUCAUAAAAUCAUCAGAUUCACCCAACGGGUGCUAUUCCAUUAUUUGAAAUUCUUGCUAGCAUUGUGAAUAAUAAUCAAGUCAUUAGUAACAAAAUAGAACCAUGAUGUAUUCAAAGUAAAGUGGAGGCUAAAAUGCAACCAAAGAUGGAAUUAUUUCUUAAAUAGGGAAUAUAUCGUUUUCGAACGAUCAACGACAACUCUCAAGUUUGUCAAAUGUGUGGUUAUUUAAACAUCGCACCUAUGAUUACCAAACCCUCAAACAUAUGAUCAAACCACACCACAAAUUUAUUAAAAAGACAAAUAAGUCAUUACGAUAAAUUUGAAAAACUGCAAACUUAUAACUGGAAACUAUUCUCGUAAAUGAUUGUUCUCAAAUCUUCGUGAGAAGGAGAACCAAAAAUCUAGUGCAAGAAAAGGUUGGUAAAUUCCUUUGCACCCAAGAUAUGUUUGCAUAUAUAUAAUAAAAAAACACUAAUAUUGGAGACCUCAUGUAAUCUCCUGAUUAUUCCAAAAAUAUCAUUAGCGUAUACUUGUAUUAUUACAUGUAGAGUGAUGUCCAAUAUCCUAUUUUUCGGGCAUUGAUAUUUGAUAAUUUUUGGAUGUAUGAAUCAAUUCAUACUCAAUAUUGUUGCGUACACAAUGAUUUUCUAAGUAUUAAUAAAUUAAAUAUUAAGUUUAAUAUCCUUAGCCAUCCUCGUUUGGGGAUGAUUAGAAAAUUAUUGACAAUUCUAUUGGUCACAACUUAACAAGUUGCAAAUUUUUUCAAAUCAUCAGAUUUUAUGUGCACCACAUGUGCCAUAGGGGAAAUUAAUUGAAGGAACUCUCACCUUACAAUGCUAAAUGAGCCAACUCAUUCUUCCUUGAACACAUUGAGAAGAUAUGUGGAUUACUCAACCAUUAUAUGAUAUAUAUUAUAUAGAUACUUCAUGGUACUCAUGGAAACAUUUAUAAAAUGAUUUCUAGUGUGUCUCUUAUCACACAAACCAUGAAUGAUAUAACUACAUUAAUUGCUCAAAUUCUCAAAGUAAGAGCAAGUUAUCCUAAACAAGGGAUAAAUCCAUUCGAAUGGACAACUUCGUUGGACUCAUUUCACAAGCAAUGUCUGAUUAUACAUAAUACAUUAUGUAAUACACAUAAUGGUUUAGUUCAAUAUCUUAUCAAAUAUAAUAAUAUGACCAAACUUAUAGAAUUGUAAUUUACUAGCCUCAUGCUAGACAAAUACGACAUUACACACCGUAAGUAUGAUAUAAAUCAUACCAACUGCAUAGCAUACUACUUUCUCCUUGUAGUAAUUACGUGGAAAUCAACAAAGUAUUUCCUAUCUGCUAUAAUUCGGUUACAUACCAAUAUCACCACUCCAGCAUACAUCAAUGGGCUCUCACAAAAAAAAUAGGGAUCUAUGUGAGGAAUAAAAAUUUAUCCGUCAAUCAAAAUUAUUCAUAGCCCGUAUGCUGAUUGCAUCAGCAAUACGGACAUUUCCGGCAUUAGGGGGAGAUAAGUACCACAAAGAAUGCCAAGAAAUAAAUUAGAAAUAUUAUUAACAUUGGGUCCUUAUAUCCACGUACUCAGAGGAUCUAAACUAAAAGUUUAGAAUCACAUAUUUGCAACUCAUUGCAAAUCUGCCACAUACGUUUACUGAUGACAAAUGUGUCACUCGAUUUUAUAUUCGUGCAGUAAAGUGUCAGAAAGAGUGGAGGUACAUAAACCACUCUUCUCCCAAAAUGAGAGCAAUAGGGGGAGAAAUCUGACCACACGAGAUAUAAUCUCGCAUAUGCUUCCGCGGAAAUAGAGGAAAUCAAAUCCUCAACUAGUAAAUGUAAUUCAAUAUCAAGUUGAAAGACACCUCACUGGAUGCUCAUCAUCCAAAGCCCGACAUAAAUGUGCACAGAUGUUUUGGUGUCGGGACAUCGAAACACAUUGAUUCCAUUGUUGUAGGAAAUCACAAGGAGUUAAAAGGAAUAAAUACAUUUCCACGAAUUUCAUUGAUUCCUCCAAAAUCAUAUAACAUAAGUCUACAUUUGUCGACGUAUAUUUCUUCUCAAAAAUGCUAAAACCUUUUGGGCCCUCAACCAAAAUCCAUGGAAGAGUGCCUUUGUACUCAUAUUGGUUCACGUAAAAGGAAGCAAGUAAUAAAGAAUAGCACUCGCUCUGCAAACGAGUGGUAUUUACCACAGUAAUAUUUUUGCAUACAUUUCGGACNNNNNNNNNNNNNNNNNNNNNNNNNNNNNNNNNNNNNNNNNNNNNNNNNNNNNNNNNNNNNNNNNNNNNAUUCAUCAUUACUGUGAGAUCUACAUCUUGUUAAUUUUACAAGAUGAUUAACUUCAAAGUGCUCUUCCUAAAAUUAAUAUUAGAUGUGACUGCCUUAGAAUAUCAUAAGGUAAUAUUGACAUCUACUGUAAUUUUUUACAGACUGUCCACUAUAUCAUAAGGUAAUAUCAUAAGGUAAUUCUGAAUUUCAAUAAUUUUUUUUAGAAAACAUACAAUAAUAAUCCGAUCCAUCCAACAGUUAAUUUUUCAAAAUUCACACAGUUAUAUUGUCACAAAGACUUAGAAUCAUUAAUGUUUAACUACAUACAUUACAUAUUUCGUGAACAACUUUACAAAUAUGGGAACAAUUUUAAUAUCGAGAACAUUUUUUACAAUUUACAAACAUUUACUAAAAAUCGUGAAUAUUUUUUAUAUUUCGAACAGUAUAAAUAUUUUCUUUUGAAUUGGCGACCAAUUCAAGAAAAGGCGAACAUACUUUUUUAUGUUGGAGGAUUUUAUUUUAAAUUCACAAACAUUUUUUGAAACGCAUGAAGUUUUUCUAAAUAAACAAACAUUUUUAUAAAUUAGUAAUAUAUUUAUUAAAUUCAUGGACAUUGUUAUAAAUCAGUAAUAUAUUUAUUUAAUUCAUGGACAUUAUGUUUUCGUCAACAUUUUAUUUCAAUAAUCCUAUUUUUAAUAUGCAAAAUUUUAUUUAAUUCUAGAUUAUCUAAAUUAGAAAUAAACAAAAAUGGAAUGGAAAAUUUUAAAUAAAAAAUAAAAACUAUCAAAACAGGCAUUAGCUAUUUUUAAAAUUUUAGGACAUUUCUUAAAUGCAUUAACAUAUUGUCAAUUAGAAAGCAUUUUGUUAAAUGCCUUUAAUAUUUUUGAAUACAUGGAAUUGUAUUAGAAAUCAUGGAGUUCUCUUAUUGUACAAAUAUUUUUCUAAAAUUGCAACAUUUUAUUGUAUAUGCGAGCAUUUUAUACAAAACUCCGAGCAGUUUAUGAAGUCACAAACAUUUUAUUUUUUAAAUAUGUUGAUUUAUAAUUUUCAGUUUAUUAAAAUUUAGAAAUUAUUUAAAAUAUAAAAAUAAAACGAAACUGAAAAUAAAUAAAUAAACGGAACUAAAAGCAGGCGCCUUUGCAUGGGCCGGCCCAUACGGUGUGCUGGAUAUUCUCCGCGUAAUAUAAGAGGUUUUUACAUGGGCCGGCCCAGUUCAAGAUUUUUUGCUUUGUCAAACGUUUUCUAUUACUUACCGGUGGCAUGGUGGGUAAUUCAUGCAAACUUUAAGGUUAAUUUCCAUGACGGACGACCAGAAACACUAUUUGCUUUAUUAUUAGAGAGAGAUUAGGGAGAGAUGGUUGGACGGACGACAACUUAGAAAUUAAGUUCGCAUGCAUCGAUCAUAUAGAUCACAUGAAGGCUUUUUUAUUACAUGGUUGGACGGACCGUAUUGCCCGACGUAGGUUUGUUCGGUCCGCGUUAGUGAAGGAGCCCAGAUUAAUUAAUGGAAUGGCCCUCCGACCCAAUUCGAGCUAAUAAUUAAUCUUAUUAUCUCAUGGACUCACCUACUAACGAUAAAACCACUGCAGCGCCUCUAGAUGAAUUUGACAUCUCUGUUGUGGGUUAUAGAGGCAUGUUGUACGAAGUAAUCAGUCUCUUGAACGUUUACCAUCAUACUUCCUCCAUUUCUAAAUAUAUAAGUCUUCCUAGAGAUUUUACCAGGCAGAGACAAUGUUAUCUAGCAGCUGAGCAAGCUAACAGAGAGAAUGUAGACUGCCUAACACAGUGAAGUGGCGUCAGCACUGGCAGCGGCGCCCGUCCUCUUGGCGGGCACGGGGGCGAUCGAGCUGUCGGUGGUGGCGCAUGGACAUCUCAGAUAUACUAGUAGGCGGACCGCGCCCGUGGGACAGACCCUGGAUAGCUUUGGUGCGCUGGGGUGUCCAUGUAAGUGCCUGUCGGUGGUGGUGUCCUUCUCGUUUGUUUGCUUUAGUCAUGUAAAAGUGUAUCAAAGGUUGCAUCGCAUAUAUACUUCUAUCCAGAUCCGGUGAAUCUUCUAUUGAGUCAUGUAACCCCAAAUUGUAUCCAUAAUGCACUUCUCGUUUGUUUGCUUUAGUCAUGUAAAAGUGUAUCAAAGGUUGCAUCGCAUAUAUACUUCUAUCCAGAUCUGGUGAAUCUUCUAUUGAGUCAUGUAACCCCAAAUUGUAUCCAUAAUGCACUCAGUCUUGAUUAUCCUUGAUCAAUAAAAGGUCAAUAUUUUCUCAAAAAAAUGCAGCUUAUCCUGUUGCUGUUAUGAGUGUUGGAACAUGAAAGCACAGUGUAUGGUAAGUCAUACAUAGUUGUGACUAUUGAAGAAAAGGUAGCGAUGUGCAUUGUAUGGAUAGAUGGUACAUGGUUGCCGUGCGACAUGGUCAUUGAAGAAAUCUAGAUGGCCUUCUCCUUCCAUGUGACAUAUCCACCGCGCCUAGCUCCCACGGUGCCUUUCGCUCUCAUGCUCACCAUAGCUUACCUUGAAUGCAUCUUCGUCAGUCUUGCUAUCUCCAACAUAGAUAAGAAGAAUGCCAUCAUCAUCGCGUAGUUGCGGUGAUUGAAGCAAAAAAUAAUCCACAACUUCCCUCCUCAAUGGUAGGUUGUUCAAGAUCUUGAAGCCAAGAAUGUGGCUGAAUAAAACAAUGUUGUAAUUAACAAACAUAUUUUGUAUAAAGCAUGGUAGUACUGCUGUUCUGAAGGUGAAUGUUAUACAUUAAAAAAAUUCUGCCAUGGAAAAGGGGGUGCAGUUUUUUUGUUGAAGAAAUGAGUCGAGUUGAACAAAUUAUUAUAAGCAGAUCUACAACAAUGGAAUAAUACAGUAUAGGGCUUGUACAGUUUGAACCAAAGAGGCGCUACAAUAUUAAUCAUUUUCCCUAAAAAAGAUAUACACUAUCUUCUUUGCAAUUCGAUGGUGACCUACUUGCUCAGUACACCUCCUGUAACUCUUAGUUGUCACAAAUAGCACACAUGAGCAAUGGAAUUAGAGAUGCACUAUCAAUCAAAAUCAAGCCUAGUUCUUUGUCAUUAAAGGGUACUCACCUGAUACUCUAAGGUACAUCGUUUUGUUUGAUAUGCUUAUCCUGUGGUGCUCUGCAUGAGAAUUGGAAUUAGAUAUGCAUUUUUUGCUCAUUGGAACAAACUUUUCUGCCACCUGAAAUAAGCGUAGAGAAAGUACCACUAAUAAAUCUAUCACGGUCUCUCAUGAGAAAGUCUGUAUCACAUAUUUGAAAGGGGUGACAUCAGUAAAUUAGUUAAUUAUAAUUAAAAUACCAUGAGGGAUGUUCGAAUUUCAGAAGAAACGUGAUGUAUUGACUGAAAUAUUAUGAUGCAUGCUGAGUUUGCACUCACUUCAACGAAACCAAUGGCACCCUGGUCACUUGAAGGAAAACAAUGGUAGACUACCAGUCAGAAUUUACACAAUACUUACAUUGUACUAUUGCCUAAACACUUCCUGGAAUCAAUAUCAAUUGCUAGAAUCUAUAGGAAAACAUUCAUGAUUCUGAAAGUUUAAACACCCUUUGUUUUCAGCAGAGUCGACAAUAAUUAUUAAUAAUAUUGACAUCCUUUUUAUGAUAAUUUCAUACAUCUGCACAUACUGAUUAUGCUCAUCAAGCAUUUUAGUAAGAGCCAAGACACACAUAAUUGGUGCCUUCUUGGUCAAAAAUAUUUAGUCUACGAUCUAAUUCGUCACCAGAGUCAACAAUAUAUAACUGAGAAAACUUAGGAGAUUCAUUAUCCAAAGGGCAUAAGAGAACUGGUUGUGGUAAACAGAGACACCCAUCUUAUUAAGAUAAGGCUCAUCUUCCAUAUUUACGGUUUCAUCAACAUGGUAACCAAGCGAAGUGAAGCAAAACAUAGCGUUAUAAUGCUUAAUCAGUCAUAGAAAUUCUACUGAUGCAGCACCACCAUUGAAACACAGUAAGUCUUUCACUGGAAAAGGUCAAUCAGGAAACACUCGUAAGGAAACCUUUCCAGCACGGCAAUAACUAUUGUACAUUGGUAAAAAAUAUUUUCUACUACGGGCACCCUUUGUACGCUCAUGAAGCCAAUAUAAUUCAUUGCAACAACCACAAACAUAUUGAGGACCACCAUAGUAAGAAAUCAGUAGGAAAACCAAUUAAAAUGCAUCCCUGGCAAAAGAGAAAGAAAGACCUCACUACCAACACUUGCGGCCUAGAGACAUGAUAUUGAUGCUUAUUAUCUCUUUUUACCCAGUUCUGGAAUAACAGAUCUCAGAAGCUUAAUUCACAUGUCCCUCCUAGUUUUCACUGGAGCUAAGAAGCUGAUUAGCAGAAUUUUGGACCUGCAACUGUAAGUGUCAUACAACUUUUGAAUAUAGUUUUUGAAUGAAAUCACUAAAAAAUAAUCCUUUGAAAAGAGAGUCUUACUUAUGAGCAGUACUAUAUUGAAAGACCAUUAGUCCUUAAUUUGACUUUCUCAGUACGGGAAAAGAGUUAUAAAAUCCCAACUCAUCUAUCCUGUUUUUGUUGUUGAAUGUUGAACAACGUAGCACGAUUCCUUAGAUACUGAGGAUCCUUAGAUCAAAAACACUGUUGAGCAUGCCAUGUCCGGCAUCCGAACCUUGAUCUUCACAUCCUCCACCCAUCCUUUAGUGAAAAUCAUCACCAUGAUCUCUGAAGGAAGGUAGCAACAACAAAUAGAAGAAACCAAAUCUAUCGAUUAGCCAAUUUGUGUGCACAGGAUGAUGACAGUAUGAACUGUUUGAAUUCAGAUUAGACAUGUACCUUGUGUGUCAGGUGAAGGAGAUGCCCCGUACGUAGCUUGCUUAUGGUAGUGGUGCCCCGCCUUCUUGGAGAAGCCGCCGGUGGGCAUGGUGGCUGCCACAAAGAACGCCCCCAUCGAAGAGAAUAAAGGAAGAGAGUCGUCGCCGGCACGACAGAGGCCCUGACGUGCACCUCGUCCAGGUGUGGCGCGCGUGAGGAUUUGGUUGCCGCUAGAGCCUCAUCGGGAGGCGGAGUGCGGGAGGGGUGGGAGCGUAGGGUUUGUGGAUGGGCACCUUCCGUGGCCCAGCGAAAGCGGAGGAGGGAAGAUGGAGGAGGGGAAGGGAACACGACGGCGACAUGGGAGGUCGUCGCCUCGUCGGCCAGACGCGGCAGCGGAGCUGGACACCCCGCUCCACUUUAUCUCUGCUCUGUCCUUCUCUCUCGUUCUCUCCAGAAUACAGUAGUAAAGAAGAAGAAGCGGUGGCGCCUUGAGAGGAGAGAUAUGAUUGAACGUGAUCCGGUCAAAGCGGUGGACCGCUAGCUAGCUAGGCCGAUUGAUCUGGUAACCAUUAGUAUUGUAGGGAGAAAAAAAUCCGUUGGUAGACAAAAGAAAACCCAAUGCACGUGGCAAUCACCGAAUCAUCGACUCCUACCACUGGGAUUGCACGACGUGAGCGAUAGCUUAGUAGCUCCACCACGUGUCGAGAGGAAAAGGGCCCUCACGCACGACGUGCGAGCUAGCUUAGUAGCUUUAAUAUAGUGUAUGUAUUUUCGUUAAAGUUCGGAGGCAUCAAGCACUAAUUUGCGCUAUUCACCUCGACCAGAGUAAAUUGCUAAAAACUAUCACAAUUCGCGCAACCGUGUCCAGUAGCUAUCAUAAUACGAUUUUGUGCGAAAAACUAUCAAAAUUUUCCUAAUCAGCGACAAAAAACUACCAAAAGUUUUAACUGCCCGAUUUAGCUCUUUUAACCGUUUUUCUAGCACGGCUGGCCCACAUGUCAGGUGCCAGCAUGGCCCCGCGCAUUUCAUCGAACAGCUUCAGCGUCACCUUCUGCGCCGUGACGGUGGUCACCUCCUUAGCCUUCUGCGUCGCCUGCGCGCCGCUCGAUAGCGUCACGUCUUUGGUUUUCACCGCCGCCUGCUGUAUGUACUCGGCCGUCGUCUUGCCGGCCGCCAGCGCGGCGUCCUUAGCUUUCUCUGCAGCCGUCUUGUCGUACUCCGCGGCCGUCCCGCCGGUGGAGACAGUCAUGUCCUUGCCCUUCAUCGUAGCCUGCUGCGUGUACUCGGUCGUCGUCUUGCCGGCCGCCAGCGCGGCGUCCUUAGCUUUCUCUGCAGCCGUCUUGGCGUACUCCGCGGCCGUCCCGCCGGUGGAGACAGUCACGUCCUUGCCCUUCAUCGCAGCCUGCUGCGUGUACUCGGCCGUCGUCUUGUCGGCCGCCAGAGCCGCCUCCCUCGCCUUCUCGCCGACCGCCUUGGCGUACUCCGCGGCCAUCCCGCCGGUGCUCACCGUGACCUCCUUCGCCUUUGCUGCGGCCUGUUUGGCGUACUCAGCGGCGGUAGCCGUGGCCUCUUGCGUCCCUUCCGCUCCUUGUGGCCCGUGCCAUGCCCACGGCCCUCCUCCUGCUUUGUGGGUGCUGCUUCUCGGCGUCCCGACACGAUGCCACCGUGCCCCUGCCGACGCGUUGGUGCCGCGCACGGCACUCUCUUUGCCCUGCUUGUCGUCGGCCGCGCGCGUGCCCGCCGCCGAGCCCUUGUGCUCCUUGUGGCCCGUGCCAUGCCCACGGCCCUCCUCCAGCGUCGUGCCGUGCUGCAACUCGGUGCCCCGAGACGACGCCGUGGUGCCGCCCGCCAGCGCGUUGGCGCCGUAGCCGUUCGACGCGGCCGACGCGCGGCCCUGGUAGGCGCCCUCGGGAAUGGCCUUGUGCUCCUGGUAGGAGACCACCGUGGCGUCGGGCGCCUGGGUGACGGUCACCGCCCCCCUGGCGCCACCGCCGCCGCCGUGCUGCAGGUUCUGGUUGUACCGCUCCUGGACGCCAUGGCGUCCGCCGAGUGCUGCUGCGCCUCCGCGCGGAACUUGCCGAUCUCCUCCAGGCCGACGCCGCCUUGGCCUUCCUCCCUUUUCGAGGCGGCGUCCUUCCGGCUCUGUUGCUGCGACGCCAUUUUCAGUGGCUUCUUGAGUGGCAGGCUCAGUCGACCGACAGUGUUCUCAGAAAGCUGGUGCGUGGAGCUUGGACUGGAUGUGGUCAGUGGCUUGGAUCGCCUGUUCGUUGGUGGAACGCGGUGACACCCGCUUAUAAUGCUGCCGCUGAGCGGCCGGUGGAGGUCGACGCGGCGUACGGAGCCUGACACAUGCGAAUCGGAGAGGACGUCGGGGACUGCGAAAAGCGGCGGGGUUUCAUCGGGCACGGAGGAACUAAGCGGCGAGAGGACACAAGUUGUUCGAUGAAAUGCGCGGGGCCAUGUUGGCACCUGGCAUGUGGGCCAGCCUUGCCAUAAAAACGGUUAAAAGAGCUAAAUCGGUCAGUUAAAACUUCUGAUAGUUUUUUGCCACUGAUUAAGAAGAUUUUGGUAGUUUUCGCACAAAAUCGUAUUGUGAUAGCUACUGGACACGGUUGCGCGAAUUGUAGUAGUUUUUGGCAAUUUACUCAGAUAACUGUUAAGAUUGUGGUCAACUCAAAUGGAAGCACAACUAUGUAAUGAGCCUGGUUCAAAGAAGAUAAGCAAUUUUAGAUUAUUUGACUGAACAGGCUAUGCAAGAAUAAUCUGUAAUUAGAAGACAAAAAGUUAACUCGUCAUCCUUAUUUCUCAGACUUGGUGUAAUCGUAAAAAAACAACAUAUGAACUUCUUUGGCAUGAUGUAAAUAUAGCCAGUCUCCUGUGCAGAAUACAUGCAGUGAGUAACCAUUUGGGUAGGUUGUGACGGAUAUGCUUUUAAGAAUGUUCUGUCAAAUAGGAGUCCUUCAAGUUAAUGGAACUGUCAUAAGAUUUAAAACACAUAUAUGCCUCAUAAAGCACAUUCAGUUUAUCAGAUCCAAGGGAAAGAGAUACCCAGAGCUAAAGAUGCAACUACAUUUAAUAUCUCGCAAGCAAAAUUAGGAAGUUUGUCUCUCAAGUCUCAAUACAUACAAAGCAUCUUCUUCGUCGAUGACAUGGAGGCAGUUAACUCGUCAUUCUUGUUUCUCUGACUUGGUGUAAUUGUCAAAAAAAAAAGGAUGAAUAAAAAUCCAUAGGGCAUGGGGAUACNAUUGAUUGGCCAUCACAGCAUCACAAAAAUAAAUUUGCCACGGAGAUUUUGCCUAUUCUGCAAAUUUUGUUGCUAAGGAGCGGCAUCUCUCAUUCAUUCGCCAUCACAGCGUUACAAAAAAUAAAUUUGUCACAUACUCCUUCCGUUUCUAAAUAUAAGUCUUUUAAGAGAUUCCACUNNNNNNNNNNNNNNNNNNNNNNNNNNNNNNNNNNNNNNNNNNNNNNNNNNNNNNNNNNNNNNNNNNNNNNNNNNNNNNNNNNNNNNNNNNNNNNNNNNNNNNNNNNNNNNNNNNNNNNNNNNNNNNNNNNNNNNNNNNNNNNNNNNNNNNNNNNNNNNNNNNNNNNNNNNNNNNNNNNNNNNNNNNNNNNNNNNNNNNNNNNNNNNNNNNNNNNNNNNNNNNNNNNNNNNNNNNNNNNNNNNNNNNNNNNNNNNNNNNNNNNNNNNNNNNNNNNNNNNNNNNNNNNNNNNNNNNNNNNNNNNNNNNNNNNNNNNNNNNNNNNNNNNNNNNNNNNNNNNNNNNNNNNNNNNNNNNNNNNNNNNNNNNNNNNNNNNNNNNNNNNNNNNNNNNNNNNNNNNNNNNNNNNNNNNNNNNNNNNNNNNNGUUGCUAAGGAGCCGCAUUUGGCAUUCAUUCGCCAUCAGAGCGUCAUAAAAAUAAAUUUGUCACGUAUUCCUUUCGUUUUUGAAUAUAAGUCUUUUAAGAGAUUCCACUAUAAAACUAUUUACAUAUGUAUAUACACAUAUUUUAGAGUUUAGAUUCACUCAUUUUACUUCCUAUAUAGCCCCUAAGUGAAAUUUCUAAAAAGACUUAUAUUUAUGAACGGAGGGAGUAUAUUCUUAAUGGCUUCAAAAAAAAAUUGUCACCUAAUCGUCAUUGCGGGGCAAACAAUAAAAUUCAUCACCUAUUCUACAAACGUCUCGGCUAAGGAGGUCCAUUCGCCACCAUUGCGGGGCAAAACAAAAUUGUCACCUAUUCUCAAAGGCAUCAAGAAGAAAAAAAUAAUUCUAAAAUGCAUCAGUAAGGAAAAUACCCCUAAAGAGUACGCGUCUCAAAUCAAACAUAAAAGGUAGGCAUGCCUACAUAAAUGCCAACUAGAAAUUUAUAUUAGCCUAAAGCGAGGUCACCCAAGCAACGUCCCAUCAUAAUAAACAGAGCUCAAAAGAGAAUGGAUUUUAGGGUUGUUUUCUUUUAUUUCCCCAAACGUUGUUGUUCGUUCAUGAAAACAGAGCUUAGUUAGUUUCAACGCUGCAAAGGUUGGCUACAGAUUUCUUUCUUUCUUUGUUUGUAUCUGAACGAAAUUUAUAACUAUAUUAUGUGACACAGAGUUUGGAAUUUGCCAUGAUGAACAAGAACUUAUUACCGGAAAACCAAUUGUCAUCUAUUCUCAAACUUUCUAGGCUAAUGAUGAGCAUCUGUCAUCCAUUCACCAUCAUUGCGAGGCAAAGACAUUUUAUCACAUAUUCUAAAAAGGACUCAAGAAGAAAGACAAAUUAUCACCUUUCUCAAAGACAUCAAUGGGAAAAAAUCCCCCAAAGAGCAGGCCCCGAAUCAAACGUAAAAGAUGGGCUUGGCUACAUAAGUGUCAGCUAAAGGCUAAUUAGCCUAACGCAAGGUCACCUAAACAAAGUCCCAUCAUACAAAACAGGGCUAACUUUUUUAGUUUUCUACUUCCCCAAACGUUGUUGCACGUUCACGAAAACAAAGCUUAAUUAGUUUCAACGUCGCAAAGGUCUGUUGAAAAUUUCCCAAAGAGUACGCGUCCAUAUCAAAUCUAAAAGAUGGGUUUGGCUACAUAAAUAUUAGAGCAUCUCUAGCUAAACCCCUUAUAACGCGGAACUGAAAACGAACAAUCUCCUUAAGCUUAAAUUAUUAAAUCAAAUAUUUGCUUAUAUUUUUUCCCACAUCUUCUUCUUCUGAUCCAUAUCUAUUCCCAGCUAAACUCACGCACAAAACGGCCAAAUACGAAGCCACCGGCGUCCAGGACUGCUCGCACAGCGGCCGUUGCCAUAGCUGGCUAGCUCCCGUCGCCAAAUCCAUCCAUAAGCUAGCUAAUCAGUUUUGAAUCCUCAGUCGCUUAAUUCAUCCACAAGCUAGCUAGCCAGCCAGCCAGCCAUUCACCCACAAGCUAGCGAGCUAGUUAGCUAGUGGAUGGAUUCGGCGAGCUAGCUAGUGGAUGGAUUUGGCGAGCUAGCUAACUCGCUUAUCGAGGACGGACGGGGUGAGGCGGCGAGAGCGACUAGGAUGGGCGGGGCAUACGACCGACGACUAGGAUUGACGGGCGGCGGUUAGAUACGGAUGGGGCGAUGGUCGAAGCGAGCCAUGAAGGAUCUGAUGAGAGUUUUCGGCAAGAUUCCCGCAAGUUCCAUAGCGAAAAGUCACCGGAGGCCGUGUGCGCACGAUGAAAUUCCCUUGCUGUAUAGUGUUGACCGGUUUACAGUUCAUCCUCAGUUUCGCCUCCGAAACGGUAAAUAAAAGGGUCACGGGGGUGGAUUCUCACGUGCCUGUAAAAAGUUUACGGGUUUGACCACUUUUAAGGGUCUAUUCAGGGUGUCUUAUGACACCGCAGAACUUAAAAUGCUUUUUUUAUGAAUUUGAUCACUUAUGCGAGGUCUGCUAGAGUUGCUCUUAGCUGGAGAUUUAACAUAGAGCGAGGUCACCCAAACAAUAUCCCAUCUUAAAAAACAUAGCUUAAAGAAUGGAUUUUUGGGCUAUUUUCUUUGAUUUCCCCAAACAUUGUUCCUUGAUCACAAAAAACAUAGCUUAAUUAGUUUCAGCAAUGCAAAGGUCAGCUGAAGGUUUCUUUCUUUCUUUGCAUCCGAAGAAAUUUAUAACUAUAUUAUGUGACAUAGAGUUUGGAAUUUGCCAUCAUGACUACGAGCUUAGUACCGGAAAAAAAUUGUCGCCUUGCAGAUUUGUAGGCUAAUGAGGCGCAUUUGUCAUCCAUUCACCGCCAAAAAUACUCUACUUAGAAUGGCUCCGCUCCGCACCCCCUAGCCUAGCCUAGCCCCGCCUCCUCCGGCAGUCGACGAGCCCCGCCGACCCCCCCCUCGCCAUGGACUUCUCCUGCUCCAGCGAGGUGAGCUCCUCCGGCCACGCGCGCCGCUGGCAGGUCUCCCUUGACGGCUCGUCGUCCGUGCGCCCCUAGAGAGAGGUCGCCGCCUCCCCGCGUUCCCCGGCUCCGACGACGCGUCAGCAGGCUGCUACGCCGCCCCGUGCCUACCCAUCUGCCCCUCAUGCGGCUGGUGUGCGUUGGGUGCCGGCCACAACUCGCCUAGGGCCACGCUCGGAGGUGCACUAGGAGAAGCGCGCUGGAGCCGCGGCCGAGGUCGACCAGGAGGGGUUCGAGCUGUUGGGUAACGUAGCAUAAAUUCAAAAUUUUCCUACACAUGUUCAGAUCUUCCUANNNNNNNNNNNNNNNNNNNNNNNNNNNNNNNNNNNNNNNNNNNNNNNNNNNNNNNNNNNNNNNNNNNNNNNNNNNNNNNNNNNNNNNNNNNNNNNNNNNNUUUUCAGUCUUACUCUUUUACUUCGUUGCACUUUCCGCCUUCAGAUCUCACUUUGCAAUCAAUCUUGAAGGGAUUGACAACCCCUUUAUAGCGUUGAGUGCAAGCUCUUUUGUGUUUGUGCGGGUACUCUGGACUUGACGAGAUUCUCCUACUGGAUUGAUACCUUGGUUCUCAAACUGAGGGAAAUACUUACUGCUCAUGUGCUGCAUCACCCUUUCCUCUUGAAGGGAAAAACCAACGCAAGCAAGUCUCCGUCAAUGUGUCAAUUUCUAGCGUUGUUGUUUGAGAAGUAGCACCUAUCACCUUUGGGACUACUUACAUAGCACAAGUCAACUACCAAGUUACUCAGGGAGCACUCUCAAAAAGAUAUAAGUGAAGAUCGGGAGUUCUUAUUUCUCCAAAAUAUGACACCGUCGUGCUCUAAAAGAUCUAAGUGAAGCACACAGAGCAAAGUUAUCUAGCUCAAAAGAUAUAAGUGAAACACGUGUGAGCUAAAUUGCCUAACUCAAAAGAUAUAAGCGAAGCUCAACGAGUAUUCUGGAAAAUUCGCGAUGAGUGCAUGACUCUCUCAAAAGGUGUGCAGCAAGGAUGAUUGUGACACAACAAAAAGAAAAGACUCCUACGAUACAAGACGCUCCAAGCAAAACACAUAUCAUGUGGUGAAUAAAAAUAUAGCUCAAAGUAAUGUUACCGAUGGAUUGAAAACGAAAGAGGGGAUGCNNNNNNNNNNNNNNNNNNNNNNNNNNNNNNNNNNNNNNNNNNNNNNNNNNNNNNNNNNNNNNNNNNNNNNNNNNNNNNNNNNNNNNNNNNNNNNNNNNNNGGGCCUAAAUAUUGGGAUCAAGCCCGACCUGAGCCCAAAAAAGCCUGACCAGGCCCAACCGGCCUGGCCCGACCGUCCGACCUAAAUAUGGGGCCCAAGCCCGGCCCGAGCCCGAAAAAGCCCUACUGGGUCCGACGAGUUCGCGGCUUAAAAUAUGUAUUCCUCAAGCCCAAGCCCGCGUGGCCCGACCGCCGGGCUCAAAUUCUAGGCCCGAGCCCGACCCGACCUGGACUGCCCAUGAUGAGGCAUACUUGUCGCACUUGCCGAGGCUAGAUUUCCUUUCUUCCUUCCACACAAAGAAAGGUAACUGAACUCGUUCGUGCUUUCGAAGUCGAUAAACCAAAUAAAUUUCCAUCAUAAAUAAAAUCCGAAUGCAAGUCUGUGCAUCNNNNNNNNNNNNNNNNNNNNNNNNNNNNNNNNNNNNNNNNNNNNNNNNNNNNNNNNNNNNNNNNNNNNNNNNNNNNNNNNNNNNNNNNNNNNNNNNNNNNNNNNNNNNNNNNNNNNNNNNNNNNNNNNNNNNNNNNNNNNNNNNNNNNNNNNNNNNNNNNNNNNNNNNNNNNNNNNNNNNNNNNNNNNNNNNNNNNNNNNNNNNNNNNNNNNNNNNNNNNNNNNNNNNNNNNNNNNNNNNNNNNNNNNNNNNNNNNNNNNNNNNNNNNNNNNNNNNNNNNNNNNNNNNNNNNNUGCAAGUCUGUGCAUCCCAUGGACACGUGGCAUGGCGUAUUGUCGUGAGACAGGCGGACGGUGUAUAUUUCACGGGCUCGACACGCCUGCCAAAUAACAAUAACAUAAUAAUAUCAUAAGAAAUCGAAAAAUAUAUAAAUCAUAAUAACUACUUUGAUGGAUGGUGUGUACGCUACCACGGACAGAAAAUGUCCAAAACAGGGUGCAUUUGGAAAGAAAUACAAGCCGNNNNNNNNNNNNNNNNNNNNNNNNNNNNNNNNNNNNNNNNNNNNNNNNNNNNNNNNNNNNNNNNNNNNNNNNNNNNNNNNNNNNNNNNNNNNNNNNNNNNNNNNNNNNNNNNNNNNNNNNNNNNNNNNNNNNNNNNNNNNNNNNNNNNNNNNNNNNNNNNNNNNNNNNNNNNNNNNNNNNNNNNNNNNNNNNNNNNNNNNNNNNNNNNNNNNNNNNNNNNNNNNNNNNNNNNNNNNNNNNNNNNNNNNNNNNNNNNNNNNNNNNNNNNNNNNNNNNNNNNNNNNNNNNNNNNNNNNNNNNNNNNNNNNNNNNNNNNNNNNNNCGUGCGGGAGGGGCUGGGUGGGUAUUCAAACCCUACUCCUGCUCCGAUCCGACACAAGCCACGCACUCUUUCUUUCCCCCUUCCCAAUCCAUUCCAGCUAGCAGUACUACUAGUACGAGUAUUAUUUUUAUCCAGCAAUAUAUACUCGAGCUCCUCCUCCUGCGCUAGGCUAGCUCCCUUCGUUCCUUCCUUCCUUCGUCCGUCCGUCCCAGGCUGCGUGGCGUGUGCGUGCGGCGAUACGACACACGGGACUCACGCGCGGCGGCGGCGAGGGUUUUGCCUGCUGCCCUCCCCCCUCCCCACGCGGCGGCGGCCGGAGCGGCUAGCGGGUGCCCGUCGGAUCCGGAGGGAGGCGGCGGCGCCAUGAGGGGNNNNN